UUUUUUCGACCAUAGUUUUAUCAGAUACAGCAAAGAAUGUAUGGAAAAAAGAGAUAAACGGAACAUGCUUCCGUUGUCAUAGCAUCGGCCUGCAAAAGAGUGACUAAUUUGGUCAACAAACCCAAUAAUCAAGGUACAUAAUUCAAAAAACUACCUAUUUGUACAUUGACUGGUUCAUCACUGUAAAACUGGGUGUUAUCCAUAUGGGACUUGGGCAGCUGCACCAAAGCGGGGACACAAUUUCCUCCCUACUGGCAUCUUCAAGGUUGAGAACACCUAUAUCCCGGGGAUUCGUCUUAUACAUCCAAUUAUAUUGCUCAUCAUCUGCGAAAUAGACACAAUUUGCCUUCAGUUGCGGAUAUUCUUCAGCACUAAGGCAUAUAGGCUGGUUACGCCCAAGAAACAACACGUUAUGAUGCAAGCUAUUUAUUUCCACGAGCUCUUCUGCUUCCAUAUCAACUUUGUGUAACCAGACUUUAUUAGUUUUAACUAUGAGCUCCUCAUAACCCGCAUCUAUGAGUUCAGCCUUCCUGCAAACUUGCAGCAGACCGCCCCAUGGACCCUGAAGAAGGUAGAACUGCCCCUUGUACUCAGAACUGUAAAUGGCAAUCUCAUCUGCAAUUAUAUUCCUCGUGACGGUACGACCAGUGAGGUCAAAAGCAUCCAUUCGCCCGGCUCUUGUGGAUGCAUACAAUAGACCAUCCAUGUAGAUGCAUAGAUCAUAGUCCCAACCCGGCGGCAGCGAGGUCCACUUACAAUCUCCUACCCUUGCAAACGAAAGCUGACGUACUGGACCAUGGAUGAGAACCGCAAUAUAGCUUCCUGUGGACGGAUCCGGAAAGAUAAAUACCCUGAUGUAGACAUGGUCACGAAGCUUGUCGGGAGCAUGGGGGAACAUUUUGGGACCAACCAUUUCGGGGUCUAAGUCCGGAUCGUAAAGUUGCUGCCGCAAUUUAUACAUAAUAACUGUGCCUGCAUUGUCAAAGAUUGGCUCUACAUAACCAAUGGUGACCACCGACGGGAGAGCAAUCUGCUGGCCGGUGACCGGAUUGAUAAGGUGUAGCUCAGACUUGUCAUCCGCGGUAACUAGCCAACCAUGUGAUGACCCAAUAAGAUACCUGUUGCGGAUGGGUGGAUCCGGGAGAGUUAAAUUGUAGACCCUCUUCUCUGCGAGGCUGUAGAGACAAGCUACAUUCUCACCAGCAGAUUCAGAGGUGUAGAGGAGGCAAGGCGUUUGAGGCCGUUUGUACAGCUUAAGCUGGCUGCAGAGGCUGGUAUACGCGGAGCGCCAGGAGGAGCUGACAGAGGCCGCACGCAUGAGGUCGGGUAUCUCCAGGAGUGAAAAUAUGUCCAUCAAUACAUCCUGCGGCAGCUCCGGCAAAUUUCUCACCACAGUUUCAGUUUCCAUGGGUGGUGAGACCUUUCUCAAUACAUCCUGCAGCAGCUCCGGCAGUUUUCUCAACACAGUUUCAGUUCCCAUCGCUGGUGAGACCUUUCUGAAUUUCCCCAAUGAAGCGGGAGAAAGAGCCAGGAGCUUAGGCAAAAUUUUCAGGCCAAAAUGAGCAAAGCUCGUUAUCCUGGCUACGCUACAGACCUCCAUUGGAGCAAUUGCAAAAGCAGGUCUUGUUGGAGAAGAGUUGCUUCAGCGGCAAACCAAUUGGACUUGGCUUGUAUCUAAUCUGAUGAGAAGAAGCACACCGAGGGCUGGCUGCACUUUAUAUCCAGUCGAGCCGAGGCCUCACCUGUGAUCCGAUUAGAAGAAGGGAGUCCGGAUCCAGCGAGGAUUGUUGCCGUAGAAACUCCAAAAAGAUCUGGAAUUCGAAUCCGAGCAAUUACCGCAAGGGCUCCCGUCGAUUGCUCCACUGCGCCUCGGAAGGAUGCCCCCCAACGAUGGGAGAGGAGAACCAACUAAUUGCCCGCCGCAGUGUAGCCCGACGGCUCGGCCGUCCCAGGAUCCGCGAGAAGGCAGAAGGUAGCGCCGGCGAGCUUGGGCUUCGUCGGCGGCGGUAAACGGGAUGCAGGAGGGGUGGUGAGAUUAGCAGUGGAAGGUGGCGGCGAGAAGCUGCUUGGCUCCGCCGUCUUCGUCGCAGGCGGCGGCGUUGUGGGGGCAGGUUGCCUUUGCAGAGGUGAGCGGAGAGGGCGUCAGUUAUGCGACCGAGCACUGUGUGCUCCGUGCGAGCGAACGAUUCCUUUUUCAUUUUCUUUUUUGAUUUGAAAACUUUCGCGCGAGCGAACGAUUCCUUUUUUUUUAUUAGAACUUCCGAGCCAGCGACCGAUUCAUUUCAAUCGCGUUGGAGUGCGUCGUUUAGUAAUUUUUUUCUGUCUGAUAAAUUUCAGAAACGCUUCCGCUCAACCGAUUGAUUAUCUCAGUUCGUUCAUCGCCUCCGUGAUCAUUAGAUCUGCCUUUCAUGCUGCCACGGCUAAAGCAAUGUUCUUCUACUUCACGCCCAUUCUUAACUCCGCCAAGCCAGGACCGUUCACCAUCGACCUCAUGGCGAUGCAUGUUGGUCCCUUUGAACUCUCACUUCUAGAAGCUUCUUUUUUCCGAGGAUGAGAUAUGAAUGACUCCAAGCAGUUUUCAAUGGGUCAAACACCGGGCCUGGAUGGUUUCGCCAUUGAGUUUAUGCAGAGUGCUUGAGAGGUGAUCAAGGAGGAUAUUUGCGGCAUGUUCGGCAAGCUACAUUUGCUCAAUUUUCGAGGCUUUCGCAAGCUUAAUGAGGCACCCAUUACUCUACUUUCCAAGAAGGCGGACGCUGCGUCACUCUUCGACUACCGGCUUGUAAUGCCCCGAGACCAUUGCGCCAGGUGUCUUCCAGUUAGUCACCAUCAUUGCCAUGUCUUUUGCUUGCGUGUUGCAUCUUGCCAUGUCAUCAUGUGUAUUGCAUCAUCAUGUUUUCAAAACUUGCAUCCGUCCGGGUUCCCCCAGUUUCGUCUGUUAUCCGUUCUGAGCCCAGACACACUUGCACGCGCCCGCGGCACCUCCGAAAUAUUAUUUUAUAAGUGGCCGGAAAAUGUUCUCGGAAUGGGUUGAAAGGUGGCAUGCGGUAUUGUUAUGUUGUCAGUAGGCCGCCUGGCAAGUUUCAUCGCAUUCGAAGUUCGUUUGAUAGCCCAACCGUUAAACAUACGGCCACAAUAUAGCCGGUCUAAUGUCGGACGUUUUCGGUCUCCGAAAACUGUUGUCGGGCCUCCCCUUCUCUUCUCUCUUCUCGGUCCAACCACACACUUGACCUCGUUCGCUAACCCCUCUUUGCUCAGUGCAUCGACCCCUCGCCCGUAUCCGAAACUUCCCCGAACCCGAACCGGACUUUCGUUACCGAUGGGUCCGGAUCGUCCCCAAACAUCUAUAAAACAUCUCUGUUUUCUUAAUUGGAUUCCCUAAGCUAUUUAUUUGCGACUGUCCGAUUCCGAUCAGAGGGACCGAGUAGCCCCUAAGCUAACCAACCUACUAUAAACAGUCUAACCCUAGAUUUUAGGCAGUGUGUCCCAUCCAUCCCAUCGCCACCGCCGCAAUCUUCUUCCUCCUCGUUUUCCCAACCUAGCCAACCACCAUCCAUCUCAGAUCCAGCCCCUCCAACCGCUGCUUUCGACCACCUCCCGUGAUUCCGUGCCACCAAAAUCCCCAGCAAACCACAGCCGUGCCUCCCGCUCCCCUCCUUGAUCCAGCUGUCGUCCAAGCCUUCCCCUUCCUCGAACCGCUGCCUCCUCCCUGUUCGGUCCGGAGGAGAGGAGCUCCUCCAUGCCCCACCUCACGACGGCCACCCUAGCAGCAGCAGCCCGGAGCGCCGCCCUCCACCGACACUCCAGCCGGCGCUCGAUCCAGUCUGAGAUUGAGGCCACAGCCUCGCUGCGCCCGAGCCUCCUAGACUCUUCCCGUGCGAGUCGUCGCCACCAGGCCGUUGCUCCCCUACCUCGCUAGCCUCCCACGCCGUCGGCCACCUCUCCGAGCAGAGCCGUCGGACCAGCAGGUCCCCGUCUCGCGUCCCUUCCUUCCCUCCUGCUCCGUUUGUCUCCCUCUCCCUUAUUUUUCUCAGCUCUCUCUCUCUCUCUCUGUUCGUCGACAGGACCCGCAACACCUUCCAUGGCCGCCGCCCAGAGUCGUUGCCACCGCACCUCUGACCGGAUCUGGACGCCUUGUCGUCUUCUGCUCGCUUCCGCCUUCCCUCGUCGCUCCAUCUUUCCCCGGCCUCGCAGGAGCCAAGCUGCCGCUGCUGCCAAGGCUCCUGUGCGCCAUCGCGGCCUCCUGCCCAUCGCGAGACACGCACGCGCUCACGCUUCACACCCGGUUCCACGCCCUCCGUCCUUCACCGCCGCGCCGGAGAUCCCUGACACCGCUGCUCUGCUCUGCUUCUUCUCGAGCAGAGGAGCGCGCCCGCAAACCUCUGCUUCACCUGCUCGAUCCGGCCAAGCGAGCACCUCGCCCGCCUUGACCCCCAUCGUCGACUGCGCCUCACCCAGCUGACUGGGUCACAGCCUCGUCAAGGCCCAUCCGCAUUCCACGUCGGCCUGCUGCUUCGUCCUCCACCAAACAGGGCGAGCCCAUGGUGAGCAUCAGAUCCAGUGCCCCCCUGUGCACUGUUGGGCCAGCAGAUUCGGCCCGAUUCAUGUUUUUUCCCAUGGAAUGAUUUUAGCUAUUAUUCCAGGAUUUACCUAUUUUGCAGAAAACCCCCUAAGCUUCAUGCAUUUAAUAACUCACAAACCGUGCAUCAUAUGUAAAAACUUUAUAUAUGUAACUUGCUUCGAAUUUCAUCUAGUUUCAUAAUCUGCAUCUUUCAUCCAUGCUAAAAAUGUUUAAAAUGUUGUUUGAUUAAAUUUGCUCAUAUGCCAUGUUAAAAUGAUUUAUUUCACAAAUUAAUAACCGUAGCUCCAAAUUUAAUAAACUUUAUAUGUAAAUGGGGUAGAAAAAUGCAUAGUUUAACAUGGUGUACUUACUUUGCAUGUUUAAAAACUCUAAAAUUAUGUUUAGUGCAGAACAGUAGCUAAUGCAUAAUAUGCAUAUGAGGAUUUUCCGGAAUUGUUGUUGUUGUUUCUGGCCUCAUUUAUACUUGCUUAAAUGUGUAGUUUUCAUAUGCUUAACCUCUUGCCAUGUUUAACAACAUUUAAUAUUGUUGGGUACAUAACCGAGAGAGAACUAAAUAAUUGAAUGUGGUGUUUCGUCAAUAUGCAACUCAUUGCAUAUUGAGCUCCACUUAAUUUGUAGUAUUGUUUGUUGCACUUUUCCAUGACAUGACUCUUUAAACCGGACAUGCAUCAUACUUGAUUGUGCAUCAUGCCAUGCUUAUGCUUGUGUGUUUACCAUGUUGCUUGCUUUUUUCCGGUUUGCUUCUCUCGUUAGCUUCGGUUUUGUUCCGGAGAUGUGAGGGUUCGUUCGACUACGUCCGUUUGCCUUCUUCUUGGACUCGUUCUUCUUCCUUGCGGGAUCUCAAGCAAGAUGACCAUACCCUCGAUAUCACUUCUAUCUUUGUUUGCUAGUUGUUCGUUCUAUUGCUAUGCUGCGCUACCUACCACUUGUUAUAUCACGCCUCUCAUAUCGCCAUGUCAAGCCUCUAACCCACCUUUCCUAGCAAACCGUUGUUUGGCUAUGUUAUGGCUUUUGCUCAGCCCCUCUUAUAGAGUUGCUAGUUGCAGGUGCCUUGCAGGUUGUUCCAUGUUGGAACAUGGAUAUGUUGGGAUAUCACAAUAUCUCUUAUUUUAAUUAAUGCAUCUAUAUACUUGGUAAAGGGUGGAAGGCUCGGCCUUAUUCCUGGUGUUUUGUUCCACUCUUACCGCCCUAGUUUCCGUCAUACCGGUGUUAUGUUCCUUGAUUUUGCGUUCCUAACGCGGUUGGGGUUAUGGGGCUCCCUUGACAGUUCGCUUUGAAUAAAAAUCCUCCAGCAAGGCCCAACCUUGGUUUUACAUUUGCCUAACAACCUAAGCCUUUUCCCUUGGGUUCCGCGGACUCAAGGGUCUUCUUUAUUUUAACCCCUCCGGGCCAGUGCUCCUUUGAGUGUUUGUCCAACCUAGAGUCCUUUGCAGUGCCACCUCGGGGAAACUUGAGGGCUGGUUUUAGUUGUACAGAGUGCUCAUCCGGUGUGCCCUGAGAACGAGAUAUGUGCAGCUCCUAUCGGGAUUUGUCGACACAUUCGGGCGGUCUUGCUGGUCUUGUUUUAGCAUUGUCGAAAUGUCUUGUAACCGAGAUUCCGAGUCUAAUCGGGUUGUUUCGGGAGAAGGAAUAUCCUUCGUUGAUCGUGAGAGCUUGUGAUGGGCUAAGUUGGGACACCCCUGUAGGGUAUAAACUUUCGAGAGCCGUGCCCGCGGUUAUGUGGUAGAUGGGAAUUUGUUAAUAUCUGGUUGCAGAGAACUUGACACUUGACUUAAUUAAAAUGAAUCAACCGCGUGUGUAGCCGUGAUGGUCUCUUUUCGGUGGAGUCCGGGAAGUGAACACGGUUUGGGUUAUGAUUGAACGUAAGUAGUUUCAGGAUCACUUCUUGAUCACUUCUAGAUUCACGACCGUUGCGUAGCUUCUCAUCUUACUCUUACUUGCAUAUGUUAGCCAACAUAUUUUCUUAGCGCUUGAUGCAGCUCCACCUCAUUACCUUAUCCUACCCAUAAGCUUAAAUAGUCUUGAUCUCGCGGGUGUGAGAUUGCUGAGUCCUCGUGACUCACGGAUACUUCCAAAUAGUUGCAUGUGCCGAUGAUACCAGUGCAGGUGAUGCUACCGAACUCAAGUGGGAGUUCGACGAGGACCUUGGUCGUUACUAUGUUUCGUUUCCUUAUGAUCAAUAGUGGAGCCCAGUUGGGACGAUCGGGGAUCUAGCAUUUGGGGUUGUCUUCUUUUAUUUUGGUUCCGUAGUCGGACCUUGAUUGUACUCUGGAUGAUGUAUGUUUAACUUUUUAUUUGUGUGAAGUGGCGAUUGUAAGACAACUCUUUAUCCCUUUCUUAUUCAUUACAUGGGACUGUGUGAAGAUUACCCCUCUUGCGACAAAACCACCAUGCGGUUAUGCCUCUAGGUCGUGCCUUGACACAUGGGAGAUAUAGCCGCAUCGUGGGUGUUACAAGUUGGUAAUCAAAGCCAUCCCCGACUUAGGAGUCCCCUGCUUGAUCGAAUCGCUGACAUUUUUGAGUCUAGAACAAAAUGUUUUCAGUCUUAGGAUUAUAUAUAUAUCGGAGAGUAGGAUUCUUUUUACUCCUCGGUCCCUUCAUCGCUCUGGUGAGGCCUCCUGAUGUAGAUGUUUUGACUUUCCUCUCCUUAAAUUUUCACGAUUUUUUUAGGAUCACGCGGGUAUCUUGGGAUCGUUCCGAUACUCUUGUGAUGAGAACAUUGUUCUUAGUGCCUCCUGACAUUUAGGGGUUGUGGCAGUGUCCCGGGGAGUUGAGCUCCGAGGUGUUGUCAUCACAAUUUUUUAUCGUUGCAAUUCUGGAAUACCUGAGUUCGCCGACAUCAAAAAUCUCUUUUAUGCAGUUGUUGGUGAGAUAAUCUCGAUGCCACCCAGUAUUGGGGCGGGAGUUCAGGAGUAUUGCCAUAACUCGUACAGCAGAUGCUUUUCGAAGGUUGAGGUACAUGAUUUCCGAAGGUUUCUUGGUUAUGUGUUGAAGGAUGGAUACAGCUGGAUGUAGGUAUUGUUAGUUUGGGUGAGAUAUUAUGCAUCACCUGUAUCCCCAACACUAGAUUGCAUAACCAGAAAGUUUCGGGAGUUUAUAAGUGGGAAUUCAAGUAGCUCCUAGAAUAUCUUUCCGACAGAUGCAUGAUAUGGGAUUGGGUAAAUCUCUAUCAUAUGUUUGUUUCCAGCUUAUUUCCUAAGUCAAUCCUUUGUUUUGUUUUGGUUUAUGGUAUUCGAGUUGCUUUAAUGCCAAGUGUUGAUUCCAUACCUUCCCUAAACAGUGUUCUCAUAUUUCUAUGUGAAUACUAAUCCUUCUUGAUCAUCGAGGUUGCCAUUUUAAUUCUAUUUCCAACCAGUGUGCUUCUCUUCAAGUGGAUCCGAUCAUUUCUACAUUCGCAAGAUCAUCCCUCAGUUUUCUCAACGGUGUUUGUUUCAACCGUCCCAAGUUGCCUUUGUUUUCCCGCCCUCCCGCCCUUUUCUUCAUGGAGCCAGAAUCCUUAAUCAAGUAUCCAUUUUAUUGAUGGGAAGUCUCUCCAUUUUUUCCGUCAACAUUCUUAUCCGGUGAUUCUCAGGAAGAUACUAACGGAGCUUCAAGUUUAUUAUUCGACGUUAUUUUUUUCUUCUCCGGUGGAUUCAACCCAUGCUUUGUCGAUCAUAUCCUUUCCUCAUUUCAAAUGCUUUCUCAUCCCGGUGCACCAAUUAAUCAUUCACCUCUCGCUAUUCUUUUGUUCCGGAAUGUUGAAGAUAUCUUAGAAGAUUCAUGUUUCCAUUCUCGAUCCAUUCAAGUUAUUUCGAGGUUGUUAUCUCAUUCAAGCAACUUAAUUCAACCGGCGCAAUCUCCCUUUCAAGUAAUCAUUCCAACGGUGUUUAUCUUGAGUGGCCCCUAACCCACAGGUCUUUUCCCAGGAUCUUACCUGACUCUUCUAUUUUCCCCGGAGUUACUCUCAAAUUCUUCUCCAAGUUUGACGUAAGAAUGAAUUAUCAUCGGUCAUAUGUAUUUCCCCAAGAUCUUUCAAAUUCUUUCCAUUGUUGGCUCAACCUCUUUGCUUUUGAUUCUCUGAAGGCCAUCAUUCGGGAUUAUUCAUUCCAGCUUUCAGCUCUCAUUCUCCAAAUCUUACCAGUGCAUCGUUCAAAUAUCCUCUAAUCAGCUCGUGAUCUAUUCGGUCUCAUGUAUUUAUAUUCUCUCAAGUAUCUUCGUUCUUUUUAUAAUUCUCCCCGGUGUUUCUUUAGUUUUUCUUCGUUUAUUUUCAAUUCUUACGGUGGUUUUUUCAAGAUUCCUCUUCCUAUAUUCUCAUAUUAAUUUAUUCGUUGUUUCAAUCCUACCGGUGGUUCGUUAAAGACCUUCCCAAGUUGAGCAAUAUCUCUCUUUAAUCCUUUUUCAAUGAGAAUAAGUAGUAUGCCAAAUCUGUUGCUUGUCAUCAAUUUAAAUUGGUGAAGGUCGUGAAGGAUACGCAUAAUUUAAUUCUUAUUCUUCUUUCACCCAAGUGAUUAAUUCCUUCCUUCGAAGUUUGUCACGAUGAAUAAAUUCUCGGUUCAAGUGCUUCAUACUUUUCCCGGAGUAACAAGCUCUCUCAAUUAUAUCAUCGCGAAGCUCCAUCUGAACCAUUGCAAGGCUUCACAUUGUGUUUUCAACUUCUCUUCCUUAUAUCAUCCUUUUAUUACCGGAGUUCUUCAUGGAGGCUACAUGGUGGUUCGUCAAGAAUUCCUUUCAUUCUUCAAUUGUUCUUCAAGAUUUCUCUCAAAGUUAAGAUCCCCCAAGCUAUACUCUAAAAUAAACAUGGUGUUCAACACAUGUCUUGUUUUGAGGAGUUCGAGCAUUCUUCAUCUUGCAUUCCGAAGUGCAAUUCUUUCAUAUCUCAUCUUUUGAGGUGGUGUUAUGUCAUUGUUGAUAAUUUCCCUUCGUGUUUCAUGAUUCAUAAGUUUUCAAGGGUGGCAUAUCUAAAUCCAUCAUUUUCUCUUUGCUCAAGACAUCUUUCCAAUCCAUCAAUCUCUUCAUUGGAGUUAUAUUGGGUUAUAUUUCACCUAAAGCUUUCCCUAAGGAUUGUUGCUAUUUAUGGUGCUCAUAAAUGACCCAAGUUCUUCAUUCAUCCUCCUGGGGAAAUAAGUUUCUCGUCUCCUUGUUCAUAUCAAUCCAAUCUAUUGUUUUCGUUAGUGGUAGAAUUUCACCUCAAGAUUUUGAGAUGUUUUCCAUAAGCCCACAAUAAGCUUACUCUUUUCGUUGUUGGUUUUCCAACAACUCCGUACGACCAAAGAUGCUUUUUCAAGCUCAUUUGAGGUAGAAGAUGUUGUUUUCUCCUCCGUUGUUUUGAUUCCAUUCUUACAUUUGUUUCGGAGGCAUUGUGAUGUUGCUCUCUUCGACCCAUCAUCUUAUUUUGUCAAGAUCAUGUUCAAUUCCUUCCAUUUAUAGUCGAAGUGCUGUACAAAUUAUAUCAUUCUUAUUCCUUCUCUAUCUUGUUUUAACCGGAGUGUUGUGUCUAUCAUUCCUCUUCUAACCGGAGUCUCAUCCAAGUGCUUUCAUUUUGCCAAGUUCAUAUUAUUACCUUCCGUUUCCAACCGGAGUGUUGUCGUAAUUGAUCUAUAUCGUUCCUUGUACAUCUCGUUUCAACCGGAGUGCUUGCAUGUACUUCUUAUCCAUUGCAACCCUUCUCUUAUGUCUUUCAACCUACAAGGUUCUAGUAAGGUUCCUUGUUCCUCUUUUCUAACGAAGUGUUUUCAACUUUGUUCAUAUUCGUUGUAUUCUUUCUUUCAAUUUGUUCAACCUCUCAAGGUUUGUGGUUUCACUCGUUUGUCCAAGAAGCAACUUAGUUUAACUCUUCUCUUCCUCUUCCGUUUCUCUCCGGUGCCAUCCUAGAUCUCGGGACGAGAUCCUCUUGUAUUGGUGGAGUGUUGUAAUGCCCCAAGACCAUUGCGCCAGGUGUCUUCCAGUUAGUCACCAUCAUUGCCAUGUCUUUUGCUUGCGUGUUGCAUCUUGCCAUGUCAUCAUGUGCAUUGCAUCAUCAUGUUUUCAAAACUUGCAUCCGUCUGGGUUCCCCCAGUUCCGUCCGUUGUCCGUUCUGAGCCCAGACACACUUGCACACACCCACGACACCUCCGAAAUAUUAUUUUAUAAGUGGCUGGAAAAUGUUAUCGGAAUGGGUUGAAAGGUGGCAAGCGGUCUUGUUAUGUUGUCAGUAGGCCGCCUGCCAAGUUUCAUCGCAUUCGGAGUUCGUUCGAUAGCCCAACCAUUAAACAUAUGGCCGCAAUAUAGCCGGUCUAACGUCAGACGUUUUCGGUCUCCGAAAACUGCUGUCGGGCCUCCCCUUCUCUUCUCUCUUCUCAGUCCAACCACACACUUGACCUCGUUUGCCUAACCCCUCUUUGCUCAAUGCAUCGACCCCUCGCCCGUGUCCGAAACUUCCCCGAACCUGAACCGUACUUCCGUUACCGUUGGGUCCGGAUCGUCCCCAAACAUAUAUAAAACAUCUCUGUUUUCUUAAUUGGACUCCCUAAGCUAUUUAUUCGCGACCGUCCGAUUCCGAUCAGAGGGACCGAGUAGCCCCUAAGCUAACCAACCUACCUAUAUAAAUAGUCUAACCCUAGAUUUUAGGCAGUCUGUCCCAUCCAUCCCAUCGCCACCGCCAUAAUCUUCUUCCUCCUCGUUUUCCCCACCUAGCCAACCACCAUCCAUCUUAGAUCCACCCCCUCCAACCGCUGCUUUCAACCACCUCCUGUGAUUCCCGUGCCACCAAAAUCCCCAGCAAACCGCAGCCGCGCCUCCCGCUCCCCUCCUCGAUCCAGCUGCCGUCCAAGCCUUCCCCUUCCUCAAACUGCUGCCUCCUCCCUGUUCGGUCCGGAGGAGAGGAGCUCCUCCAUGCCCCACCUCACACCGGCCACCCUAGCAGCAGCAGCAGUCCGGAGCGCCGCCCUCCACCGACACUCCAGCCGGCGCUCGAUCCAGUCUGAGAUCGAGGCCACAGCCUCGCUGCGCUCAAGCCUCCUAGACUCUUCCCGUGCGAGUCGUCACCACUAGGCCGUUGCUCCCCUGCCUCGCUAGCCUCCCACAUCGCCAGCCACCUCUCCGAGCAGAGCCGCUGGACCAGCAGGUCCCCAUCUCGGGUCCCUUCCUUCCCACCUGCUCCGUUUGUCUCCCCCUUCCUUAUUUUUCUCAACUCCCUCUCUUUGUUCGUCGAUAGGACCCGCAGCACCAUCCAUGGCCGCCGCCCAGAGUCGUUGCCGCCGCACCUCCAACCGGAUCUGGAUGCCUCAUCAUCUUCUGCUUCCUUCUGCCUUCCCUCGUCGCUCCAUCGUUCCCCGGCCUCGCAGGAGCCGAGCUACCGCUGCUGCCAAGGCUCCUGUGCAGCACCGCGGCCUCCUGCCCAUCGCGAGACAUGCAAGUGCUCACGCUUCACGCCCGGUUCCAUGCCCUCCGUCCUUCGCCGCCGCGCCGGAGAUCCUUGACGCCGCUGCUCUUCUCUGCUUCUUCUCGAGCAGAGGAGCGCGCUCGCAAACCUCUGCUUCGCCUGCUCGAUCCGGCCAAGCGAGCGCCUUGCCCGCGUUGACCCCGUCGUCACCUGCGCCUCACCCAGCUGACUGGGUCACAGCCUCGUCAAGGCCCAGCCACAUGCCACGCCGGACUGCUGCUUCGUCCUCCACCAAACGGGCCAAGCCCAUGGUGAGCAUAAAGAUCUAGUGCCCCUGUGUGCACUGUUGGGCCAGCAGAUUCGGCCCGAUUCAUGUUUUUUCCCACGGAACGAUUUUAGCUAUUAUUCUAGGAUUUACCUGUUUUGCAGAAAACCCCCUAAUCUUCAUGCAUUUAAUAACUCACAAACCAUGCAUCAUAUGUAAAAACUUUAUAUCUGUAACUUGUUUAGAAUUUCAUAUAGUUUCAUUAUCUACAUCUUUCAUCCAUGCUAAAAAUGUUUAAAAUGUUGUUUGAUUAAAUUUGCUCAUAUGCCAUGUUAAAAUGAUUUAUUUCAUAACUUAAUAACCGUAGCUCCAAAUUUAAUAAACUUUAUACAUAAAUGGGGUAGACAAAUGCAUAGUUUAACAUGGUGUACUUACUUUGCAUGUUUAACAACUCUAAAAUUAUGUUUAGGGAAGAGCACUAGCUAAUUCAUAAUAUGCAUAUGAGGAUUUUCCAAAAUUGUUGUUGUUUCCAGCCUCAUUUAAACUUGUUUAAAUGUGUAGUUUUCAUAUGCUUCACCUCUUGCCAUGUUUAACAACAUUUAAUAUUGUUGGGUACAUAACCGAGAGAGAACUAAAUAAUUGAAUGUGGUGUUUCGGCAAUAUGCAACUCGUUGCAUAUUGAGCUCCAUUUAAUUUGUAGUAUUGUUUGUUGCACUUUGCCAUGCCAUGACUCUUUAAACUGGACAUGCAUCAUACUUGAUUGUGCAUCAUGCCAUGCUUAUGCUUGUGUGUUUACCAUGUUUCUUGCGUCUUUCUGGUUUGCUUCACUCGUUAGCUUCGGUUUCAUUUCGAAGAUGUGAGGGUUCGUUCGACUACGUCCGUUUGCCUUCUUCUUGAACAACUUUUCCUAGCAAACUAUUGUUUGGCUAUGUUACCGCUUUUGCUCAGCCCCUCUUAUAGCGUUGCUAGUUGUAGUGCCUUGCAGGUUGUUCCAUGUUGGAACAUGGAUAUGUUGGGAUAUCACAAUAUCUCUUAUUUUAAUUAAUGCAUCUAUAUACUUGGUAAAAGGGUGGAAGGCUCGGCCUUAUGCCUGGUGUUUUGUUCCACUCUUGCCGCCCUAGUUUCCAUCAUGCCGGUGUUAUGUUCCUUGAUUUUGCGUUCCUAAUGCGGUUGGGGUUAUGGGGCCCCCUUGAAAGUUCACUUUGAGUAAAACUCCUCUAGCAAGGCCCAACCUUGGUUUUACAUUUGCCUAACAACCUAAGCCUUUUCCCUUGGGUUCCGCAGACUCAAGGGUCUUCUUUAUUUUAACCCCCCGGGCCAGUGCUCCUCUGAGUGUUUGUCCAACCUAGAGUCCUUUGCAGCGCCACCUCGGGGAAACUCGAGGGCUAGUUUUAGUUGCACGGAGUGGUCAACCAGUGUGCCCUGAGAACGAGAUAUGUGCAGCUCCUAUCGAGAUUUGUCGGUACAUUCAAGCGGUCUUGCUGGUCUUGUUUUAGCUUUGUCAAAAUGUCUUGUAACCGGGAUUCCGAGUCUAAUCGGGUUGUUCCGGGAGAAGGAAUAUCCUUCAUUGAUCGUGAGAGCUUAUGAUGGGCUAAGUUGGGACACCCCUGCAGGGUAUAAACUUUCGAGAGCCGUGCCUGCGGUUAUGUGGUAGAUGGGAAUUUGUUAAUAUCUGGUUGUAGAGAACUUGACACAUGACUUAAAUUAAAUGAAUAAACCGCGUGUGUAGCCGUGAUGGUCUCUUUUCGGCGGAGUCCGGGAAGUGAACACGGUUUGGGUUAUGAUUGAACGUAAGUAGUUUCAGGAUCACUUCUUGAUCACUUCUAGCUUCACGACCGUUGCGCAACUUCUCAUCUUACUCUUACUUGCGUAUGUUAGCCACCAUAUUUGCUUAGCGCUUGAUGCAGCUCCACCUCAUUACCUUAUCCUACCCAUAAGCAUAAAUAGUCUUGAUCUCACGGGUGUGAGAUUACUGAGUCCUCGUGACUCACGGAUACUUCCAAAUAGUUGCAUGUGCCGAUGAUACCAGUGCAGGUGAUGCUACCGAACUCAAGUGGGAGUUCGACAUGGACCAUGGUCGUUACUAUGUUUCAUUUCCUGAUGAUCAGUAGUGGAGCCCAGUUGGGACGAUUAGGGAUCUAGCAUUUGGGGUUGUCUUCUUUUAUUUUGGUUCCGUAGUCGGACCUUGAUUGUACUCUAGAUGAUGUAUGCUUAACUUUUUAUUUGUGUGAAGUGGCGAUUGUAAGCCAACUCUUUAUCCCUUUCUUAUUCAGUACAUGGGAUUGUGCGAGGAUUACCCCUCUUGUGACAAAACCACCAUGCAGUUAUGCCUCUAGGUCAUGCCUCGACACGUGGGAGAUAUAGCCGCAUCAUGGGCAUUACACGACUAAUUAGUUUGAUCCACCUCAUAGCCAAGCUUUUUGUGAAGGCUCUCUCUCUCCUACUCGCCUCGCAUCUCACUACUAUUUUUUCCACCAACCAAAGCGCGCUCAUCGCUAGCAGAAGCAUUCAUGAUAACUUCCUACUCGUGCAACAAAUGGCACGCCUUAUCCAUUACCUUAAAGCUAAUAGGAUGCUUCUGAGGCUUGACAUCCCUGCGCCUUCGACUCGGUAUCCUGGUUUUUCCUCCUCGAGAUACUUCGACUGUUGGGGAACUGUCACACCCCGAGACCGAUGUGCCAGGUGUCGUCCAGUUAUUCGCUGUUGUUGCCUCGUCAUUUGCUUGCGUGUCAUGCAUUUCAUAUCUUUACAUCAUGUGCAUUGCAUCAUGUCAUAAAUCUUUUGCAUCUCAACUAAAUAAUUUGUGUGGAUCUUCGAUCCAUUUAAAUCAAGGGAAGAGUGACUUCUCUUUAUAACUUUAUCCUCCUAAUAUUUAGGGAGUUAUUAUAAAUAUUCCAUUAAUUUGGAAUCAUCGUAACACACGUGCAAAAUAAUUCCCAUGUCUAUUCCUCUUCGAUUUUGACCUUCAAACCUUGCCAAUAUCUCUCAUCUCUUUUCUCGAGGCUCCUAAAACCUCAACAUUUUUGGAUACCUCUAAUUCCUAGCCCGUGUUCAAACCAUUUGAAUUAAAUUCAAAUUAUUUUGAAUUAAAUCCUUGUGAUCAUGCCUCUCCUAUUUUUCUUGGAACCAGUGCAUUUUUGCGAGUCGGGGAACAUUAUUUGCGUGCGCUAAUUCUUUCCCUAUCCCUCUCUUUCUUUUCGUCUCUCCAAUUCUUUUCUGUUAAAGGAAAUAUGAGGGAGAGAGAGAGAGAAGAGAGAUAGCACAUGCCGGCCCAACCUCCAGCGCAGGCCCAUCUGCCCCUCCAAGGCCCAGCCAUCCCACCUACACCUAACACUAGCCCACACCCUCUGGACGAUCCUCUCCCCCCCCUUCGUUUCUUGCUUGCGCCGCCAGGAGAGGAUCGCUCGCACCCGACUCCCUCUCCCUCUCCAUUCGCUCGAUCUCCCCACCUCUCGCUCCCGUGUCCGAACCACCUGUGCCUCCCUCUCUCUCGCUCACGUCGAGCCCCUCCACUCCUUCUUCCAGCAAGGCCCCGCACCACUCGUCCCAAUUUUGGCCGGAGCUCACCGGAGCCACAACACCGGCCGUCACCGGACCUCCUCCUCGGCUCCACCGCCGCCAAGCGCCGCCUCCAGCAGCCUCCUCCCCUCGCGUUCCUGCCUUGCCCCGCCAUGGACGCUGCAAGACCUCGCCGCUGCCUCCCCGUCUCCGGCCAUGGAGCCCGCGCCGGCGACCCGACCUGCCAGUGUCGCCGCCCUCCUUCAUCGCGGCCUCGCCUCCCUCUUCCUCCGUUCGGGCCAACGCCGCCGCCACCGGAUCAGGCUGCGCUUCGCCGGGUCCUCCCCUGCCGCCGGACCGGCCCUGCAGGAGCUUCUUGUCCCUCGCCGUCCGAUGCUGUUCCGCCCUGCCGCCUCUUGCCGAGCUACCUGUCACCUGCGUUGUCUACGUGCUGCUUCCCUGUUGCCUUUUUGUUGUCAUUGUCAAGGCCACUGAAUCCAGGGAUGCAAGACCGCCUCCGUGGAAUUUCGCCAAGUACACCACCGACAAGACCAAACAGAUGCUCGAACGAGUACCGAACGAAACACCAAGACCUACGAGAACGACUUCGUGGACCGAUGAGUACCAUGACGACCGUUGUUCACCAAGUACACCUUCAGAUGGCCAAGUUCCUCUUCAAAUGUACGACUACACGGUGUUGCGCCAAGUACCAUGAUGUCCGGAGCCCUCGGACCGUCAAGUUUCACUACCGCCGACUAGCAUGACUACCGUCGCAAAAACGAGACCGUCAAGGCCCGACCGACAAGUACCCCGACGACCCUGAACAUCUACGAUUGUGUAUGACUACUGCCGCCGUGGUUUUUGACAAGACGUCAUGAGCCUCUACUUCCACUACCGCUCCGAUGAUCGCCGAUGAAUGAUAGGACGACUACUUCGACUACCGUUGCGUGAUCCACUACUUCCCUCGAAGACCCAUGAACGACUACUUCCACUACGAACUCGUUCCGCCCGAAACGCAUGCUUCGAAGGUAUAACCCCGAGACGACCGCCCGUGGACCGAAUGCUUGCGAUGUAUGAGUUGAACCGUGUGUUGCUCCGUGUCCGAGUUGUUCUUUGCGAGUUCCUCGUUGCCAUGCCGUCCACCCGUGGGAACCCGGCAACCGGGAUCACCCCAUCAUCUUGCAUGACACACUCACUCCCACUUCCUUUUGCACCGGUAUCCCUGUGAGCUACCGGAACCGAUAUGUUGUCAUGGCAUCAUUUUCGGAUUCAUCCCCGUGGCACCCUUUCUUUCCACCACGAUGACAAAAUGCCCAAUAUAUUAUAACAUGCCAACAUUUUCAUAAAUUCUGCAUAAAACUUGCUCAUGUCAUUCGCAUCAUGAUAAUAACAUCGAAAAUGUUUAAAAUUGUUGUUGCACCAAAUUGCUAAAUGCAUAUCGGGAUUUACCGGAUUCGUUAUUUGUUAUAUCCGGCCCCAUUUAAAUUGUUUAGAGGGUGUAGUUUUGUUAUGCCUCAUCUCUUGCCAUGUUUAACAACAUUUAAUAUUGUUGGGUACCUAAACGAGAGAGAACUAAAUAAUUGAUGUGGUGUUCCGUCAAUAUGCAACUCGUUGCAUAUUGAGCUCCACUUAAUUUGUAGGAUUGCUUGUGCACUUUGACAUGUCAUGCUUCAUUAAACCGGACAUGCAUCAUACUUGUUUGCGCAUCGUGCCAUGCUUAUGUGAUGUUUGUUCACUAUGUUGUUUGCUUCUUUCUGGUGUUGCUUCUUCGGGUUAGUUCCGAUAACGUCGUGUUGUGCGGAUCUGUUCGACUAUGUCCAUUUGUCUUCUUCAUGGACUCGUUCUUCUUCCUUGCGGGAUCUCAGGCAAGAUGACCAUACCCUCGAAAUCACUUCUAUCUUUGCUUGCUAGUUGCUCGCUCUUUUGCUAUGCCUAUGCUGUGAUACCUACCACUUGCUUAUCAUGCCUCCCAUAUUGUUGAACCAAGCCUCUAACCCACCUAGUCCUAGCAAACCGUUGAUUGGCUAUGUUACUGCUUUGCUCAACCCCUCUUAUAGCAUUGUUAGUUGCAGGUGAAGAUGAAGUUUGUUCCUUGUUGGAACAUGGAGAUGUUGUUCCUUGUUGGAACAUGUUUACUUGUUGGGAUAUCACAAUAUCUCUUAUUUAAUUAAUGCAUCUAUAUACUUGGUAAAGGGUGGAAGGCUCGGCCUCUCGCCUAGUGUUUUGUUCCACUCUUGCUGCCCUAGUUUCCGUCAUAUCGGUGUUAUGUUCCCGGAUUUUGCGUUGCUUACGCGGUUGGGUGAUAAUGGGAACCCCUUGAUAGUUCGCCUUGAAUAAAACUCCUCCAGCAAUGCCCAAUAUUGGUUUUACCAUUUGCCACCUAGCCUUUUUCCCUUGGGUUUCGCGGACUCAAGGGUCAUCUUUAUUUUAACCCCCCCGGGCCAGUGCUCCUCUGAGUGUUGGUCCAACCGAGCGAUGUCCGGGGCUACCAGGGGCAACUCUAGGCUGGCCUACCCGACGUCUUGCUCAUCCGGUGUGCCCUGGGAACGAGAUAUGUGCAGCUCCUAUCAGGAUUUGUCAGCACAUCUGGGUGGUGUUGCUGGAUUUGUUUUAACUUGUCGAAAUGUCUUGUAGAACCGGGAUACCGAGUCUGAUCGGAAUGUCUCGGGAGAAGGUAUAUCCUUCAUUGACCGUGAGAGCUUGUCAUGGGCUAAGUUGGGACUCCCCUGCAGGGAUUUGAACUUUCAAAAGCCGUGCCCGUGGUUAUGGGCAGAUGGGAAUUUGUUAACGUCCGGUUGUAGAAAACCUGAAGUUGACCUUAAUUAAAAUACAUCUACCACAUGUGUAACCGUGAUGGUCUCUUUCCGGCGGAGUCCGGGAAGUGAACACGGUGUUGGAGUUAUGUUUGACGUAGGUUGUUCUAGGAUCACUUCUUGAUCAUAGAUUCUCGACCGUGCUUUUGCCUUCUCUUCUCGCUCUCAUUUGCGUUGUUAGCCACCAAAUAUGCUAGUCGCUUGCUGCAGCUCCACCUCAUACCUUUACCUUACCCAUAAGCUUAAAUAGUCUUGAUCGCGAGGGUGUGAGAUUGCUGAGUCCCCGUGACUCACAGAUAGUUCCAAAACCAGCUUGCAGGUGCCGAUGAGUCCGUGCAGAUGAUGCAACCAAGCUCAGGAGGAGCUCGAUGAAGAUCUUGUCCUUUGUGUUGUUCCAUUUCCAGUUGAUCAGUAGUGGAGCCCAGUCGGGACGAUCGGGGAUCUGUGUAGCAUUUGGGGUAGUCUUCUUUUAUUUUGGUUCCGUAGUCGGACCUUGAGUGUAUUUGGUUGAUGUAAUGCUUUAAUCAUGUAAUUUUGUGAAGUGGCGAUUGUAAGCCAACUAUGUAUCUUUUUCCCUUAUGUAUUACAUGGGUUGUGUGAAGAUUACCUCACUUGCGACAUUGCUUUCAAUGCGGUUAUGCCUCUAAGUCAUGCUUCGACACGUGGGAGAUAUAGCCGCAUCGAGGGCGUUACAAGUUGGUGUCAGAGCCUUCCCCGACCUUAGGAGCCCCCACUGCUUGAUCGUUUUUAGCAGCCGUUGUUGAGUCUAGAAAAAUGUUUUGAGUCAUGUAGGAAUUAUAUAUCGGAGAGUUUAUAAAUUCUUUUUACUCCCCAGUCCCUUCAUCGCUCUGGUAAGGGAUCCUGACGUAGAGUUUUGACUCUUCUCUUCUCAAAUUUCACUAAUUUUUUUUAGGAUCAGGCGUGUAUCUUGGAAUCGUUCCGAUCGAUUUGUGACGAGAACAUUGUUCUUGGUGCCUCCUGUCAUUUAGGGGUUGUGGCAGUGUCCCGGGGAGUUGAGCUCCGAGGUGUUGUCGUCACAAAUUUAUGGUUGCAGUUCUGGAAUACCUGAGUUUAGUUUCGCCGACAUCGAAAAUCUCUUUUAUGCAGUUGUUGGUGAGAUAACCUCGACGCCACCCAGUACUGGGGCGGGAGUUUGGGAGUAUUGCCAUAACUUGUAUAACGGAUGCUUUUCGAAGGCUGAGGUAGAUGGUUUCCGAAGUUUUUCUCGGUUUUGUGUUGAAGGAUGGAUACAGCUGGAUGUAGGAUUUGCUAGAUUUGGGUGAGAUAUUAUGCUUCCCCUGUAUCACCAACACCUGAUUGCAUAACUGGAAAGGUUAGGGAGUUUCAUAAGUGGGAAUUCAAGUAGCUCUUAGGAUAUCUUUUCAACAGAUGCAUGAUAUGAAAUUGGGGUUUGACGUCUAGUGGUCUGGCUAUUCACGGUUGGUUUUACAGUGGUCUCGUUGUGUCUUAAAGAGUCCUUGGCUAUGCUGACUCGGGGACGCUUCGUAUGUCAUGUGCACUGCCUUGUACAUGAUGGUGCUGUACGAUCGAGCCCGUGUAGGCCCCACCACGAAAACUUCGGACGAAAUCUCAUAUGGUUGUUCCGGCUUAUUCUGCAAGCCAAUUCUUGUUUUGUUUUGAGUGUGGUAUUCGAGUUGCUUCGAAGUCAAAUGUUGAUUCCAUACCUUCUCUAAAUGGUGUUCUCAUGUUCUUACGUGAAUACAAAUCCUUUGUGAUCAUUGAGAUUGUCAUCUAAAUUUCUUCUCUACCGGCAAGUGGAUCCACUCAUUUUCAACAUCCGCAAGAUUCAAUCUCAGCUUUCUCAACGGUGUUCUUUUCAUCCGUUCUAUGUCGUCUUUGUUUUCCCACCCACCCACCCUUUUUCUUCAAGGACUAAGAUUUCCCAAUCAAGUAUCAUUUUAUUGAUGGAAGUCUCUCCAUUCUUUUCCUUCAUGUUCUUACCCGGCGAUUCUCAUGAAGAUUCUAACGGAGCUUCAAGUUCAUCAUUAUUCGUUCUUUUUCUUCUUCGGUGGAACCAAGUCUAGCUUUGUUGACCAUAUAUUUUUCCUUGUUUCAAAUGUUUCUCCAUACCGGUGCACCUCAUAAUAAUUCAUUUCUCGCUAUUCUAUUGUUCCAGAGAGCUAAAGAUAUCUCGAAGACUCAUGUUUCCACUCUGCAUUCGUUCAAGAUCUUUCGAGGAUGUUCUCUCAUUCAAGUCUUUUAAUUCAACCGGUGCAAUCUAUCUUCCAAGCGACCUUUUCAACGGUGUUUCUUUCAGUGGGCCCUAACCCACAGGUCUUUUUCCAGGAUCUUACCCGACUCUUCUCAUUUUUCCCGGAGUAUUCUCCAAGUUUGACAUAAGAAUGACUCAUCAUCAGUCAUAUGUAUUUCUCCAAGAUCUUUCAAAUUCUUUUCGUCGCUAGUUCAACUUUUCUAUUCUUCUUAUUCUGGAGUAUCUCAAUGAUUCAUGGUGUUGUUUCUCGUCAUCAUUCUCGGAUUUUAAGACCGAAGAAGAGUUUUCCUCCAUACCUUGCUCCAUUUCUCUUCAAGAUUCGUGAUUCUAGCUUGUUGCCAUCCUCUCGUAAUUGUUUUCGAUGUGAGAAUUCUUUUCACCCAUCCGGAGCAUUUCAUGAGUUGUUUUUUCCAUUUCUUUUCCCCGAAGGCCAUCUUUUCAAAUAUUAUUCAUUUCUCAGCCUUCGACUCGGUAUCUUGGUUUUUCCUCCUCGAGAUACUUCGACUGUUGGGGAACUGUCACACCCCGAGAUCGAUGUGCCAGGUGUCGUCCAGUUAUUCGCUGUUGUUGCCUCGUCAUUUGCUUGCGUGUCAUGCAUUUCAUAUCUUUACAUCAUGUGCAUUGCAUCAUGUCAUAAAUCUUUUGCAUCUCAACUAAAUAAUUUGUGUGGAUCUUCGAUCCAUUUAAAUCAAGGGAAGAGUGACUUCUCUUUAUAACUUUAUCCUCCUAAUAUUUAGGGAGUUAUUAUAAAUAUUCCAUUAAUUUGGAAUCAUCGUAACACACGUGCAAAAUAAUUCCCAUGUCUAUUCCUCUUCGAUUUUGACCUUCAAACCUUGCCAAUAUCUCUCAUCUCUUUUCUCGAGGCUCCUAAAACCUCAACAUUUUUGGAUACCUCUAGUUCCUAGCCCGUGUUCAAACCAUUUGAAUUAAAUUCAAAUUAUUUUGAAUUAAAUCCUUGUGAUCAUGCCUCUCCUAUUUUUCUUGGAACCAGUGCAUUUUUGCGAGUCCGGGAACAUUAUUUGCGUGCGCUAAUUCUUUCCCUAUCCCUCUCUUUCUUUUCGUCUCUCCAAUUCUUUUCUGUUAAAGGAAAUAUGAGGGAGAGAGAGAGAAGAGAGAUAGCACAGGCCGGCCCAACCUCCAGCGCAGGCCCAUUUGCCCCUCCAAGGCCCAGCCAUCCCACCUACACCUAACCCUAGCCCACACCCUCUGGACGAUCCUCUCUCCCCCCUUCGUUUCCUGCUUGCGCCUCCAGGAGAGGAUCGCUCGCACCCGACUCCCUCUCCCUCUCCAUUCGCUCGAUCUCCCCACCUCUCACUCCCGUGUCCGAACCACCUGCGCCUCCCUCUCUCUCACUCACGCCGAGCCCCUCCACUCCUUCUUCCAGCAAGGCCCCGCACCACUCGUCCCAGUUUUGGCCGGAGCUCGCCGGAGCCACAACACCGGCCGUCACCGGACCUCCUCCUCGGCUCCACCGCCGACAAGCGCCGCCUCUAGCAGCCUCCUCCCAUCACGUUCCUGCCUUGCCCCGCCAUGGACGCCGCAAGACCUCGCCGCUGCCUCCCCAUCUCCGGCCAUGGCGCCCGCGCCGGCGACCCAACCUGCCAUUGCCGCCGCCCUCCUUCAUCGCGCCCUCGCCUCCCUCUUCCUCCGUUCGGGCCAACGCCGCCGCCACCGGAUCAGGCCGCGCUUCGCCGGGUCCUCCCCUGCCGCCGGACCGGCCCUGCAGGAGCUUCUUGUCCCUCGCCGUCCGAUGCUGCUCCGCCCUGCCGCCUCUUGCCGAGCUACCUGUCACCUGCGUCGUCUACGUGCUGCUUCCCUGCUGCCUUUUUGUUGUCAAUGCCAAGGCCACUAAAUCCAGGGAUGCAAGACCGCCUCCGUGGAAUUUCGCCAAGUACACCACCGACAAGACCAAACGGAUGCUCGAACGAGUACCGAACGAAACGCCAAGACCUACGAGAACGACUUGGUGGACCGACAAGUACCACAAUGACCGUUGUUCGCCAAGUACACCUUCGGAUGGACAAGUUCCUCUUCAAAUGUACGACUACAUGGUGUUGCGCCAAGUACCACGAUGCCCGGAGCCCUCCGACUGUCAAGUUUCACUACCGCCGACUAGCAUGACUACCGUCGCAAAAACGAGACCGUCAAGGCCCGACCGACAAGUACCCCGACGACCCUGAACAUCUACGAUUGUGUACGACUACCCCCGCCGUGGUUUUCGACAAGACGUCAUGAGCCUCAACUUCCACUACCGCUCCGAUGAUCGCCGAUGAACGAUAGGACGACUACUUCGACUACCGUCGCGUGAUCCACUACUUCCCUCGAAGACCCAUGAACGACUACUUCCACUACGAACUCGUUCCGCCCGAAACGCAUGCUUCGAAGGUAUAACCCCGAGACGACCGCCCAUGGACCGAAUGCUUGCGAUGUAUGAGUUGAACCGUGUGUUGCUCCGUGUCCGAGUUGUUUUUUGUGAGUUCCUUGUUGCCAUGCCGUCCACCCGUGGGAACCCGGCAACCGGGAUCACCCCAUCAUUUUGCAUGACACACUCACUCCCACUUCCUUUUGCACCGGUAUCCCUGUGAGCUAUCGGAACUGAUAUGUUGUCAUGGCAUCAUUUUCGGAUUCAUCCCCGUGGCACCCUUUCUUUCCACCACGAUGACAAAAUGCCCAAUAUAUUAUAACAUGCCAACGUUUUCAUAAAUUCUGCAUAAAACUUGCUCAUGUCAUUCGCAUAAUGAUAAUAACAUCGAAAAUCUUUAAAAUUGUCGUUGCACCAAAUUGCUAAAUGCAUAUGGGGAUUUACCGGAUUCGUUAUUUGUUAUAUCCGGCCCCAUUUAAAUUGUUUAGAUGGUGUAGUUUUGUUAUGCCUCAUCUCUUGCCAUGUUUAACAACAUUUAAUAUUGUUGGGUACCUAAACGAGAGAGAACUAAAUAAUUGAUGUGGUGUUCCGUCAAUAUGCAACUCGUUGCAUAUUGAGCUCCACUUAUUUUGUAGGAUUGCUUGUGCACUUUGACAUGUCAUGCUUCAUUAAACCGGACAUGCAUCAUACUUGUUUGCGCAUCGUGCCAUGCUUAUGUGAUGUUUGUUCACUAUGUUGUUUGCUUCUUUCCGGUGUUGCUUCUUCGGGUUAGUUCCGAUAACGUCGUGUUGUGCGGAUCUGUUCGACUACGUCCAUUUGUCUUCUUCCUGGACUCGUUCUUCUUCCUUGCGGGAUCUCAGGCAAGAUGACCAUACCCUCGAAAUCACUUCUAUCUUUGCUUGCUAGUUGCUCGCUCUUUUGCUAUGCCUAUGCUGCGAUACCUACCACUUGCUUAUCAUGCGUCCCAUAUUGUUGAACCAAGCCUCUAACCCACCUGGUCCUAGCAAACCGUUGAUUGGCUAUGUUACCGCUUUGCUCAACCCCUCUUAUAGCAUUGUUAGUUGCAGGUGAAGAUGAAGUUUGUUCCUUGUUGGAACAUGGAGAUGUUGUUCCUUGUUGGAACAUGUUUACUUGUUGGGAUAUCACAAUAUCUCUUAUUUAAUUAAUGCAUCUGUAUACUUGGUAAAUGGUGGAAGGCUCGGCCUCUCGCCUAGUGUUUUGUUCCACUCUUGCCGCCCUAGUUUCCGUCAUAUCGGUGUUAUGUUCCCGGAUUUUGCGUUGCUUACGCGGUUGGGUGAUAAUGGGAACCCCUUGACAGUUCGCCUUGAAUAAAACUCCUCCAGCAAUGCCUAACAUUGGUUUUACCAUUUGCCACCUAGCCUUUUUCCCUUGGGUUUCGCGGACUCAAGGGUCAUCUUUAUUUUAACCCCCCGGGCCAGUGCUCCUCUGAGUGUUGGUCCAACCGAGCGAUGUCCGGGGCUACCAGGGGCAACUCUGGGCUGGCCUACCCGACGUCUUGCUCAUCCGGUGUGCCCUGAGAACAAGAUAUGUGCAGCUCCUAUCGGGAUUUGUCGGCACAUCUGGGUGGUGUUGCUGGAUUUGUUUUAACUUGUCGAAAUGUCUUGUAGAACCGGGAUACCGAGUCUGAUUGGAAUGUCUCGGGAGAAGGUAUAUCCUUCAUUGACCGUGAGAGCUUGUCAUGGGCUAAGUUGGGACUCCCCUGCAGGGAUUUGAACUUUCAAAAGCCGUGCCCGUGGUUAUGGGCAGAUGGGAAUUUGUUAAUGUCCGGUUGUAGAAAACCUGAAGUUGACCUUAAUUAAAAUACAUCUAUCGCGUGUGUAACCGUGAUGGUCUCUUUCCGGCGGAGUCCGGGAAGUGAACAUGGUGUUGGAGUUAUGUUUGACGUAGAUUGUUCUAGGAUCACUUCGUGAUAAUAGAUUCUCGACCGUGCUUUUGCCUUCUCUUCUCGCUCUCAUUUGCGUUGUUAGCCACCAAAUAUGCUAGUCGCUUGCUGCAGCUCCACCUCAUACCCUUACCUUACCCAUAAGCUUAAAUAGUCUUGAUUGCGAGGGUGUGAGAUUGCUGAGUCCCCGUGACUCACAGAUAGUUCCAAAACCAGCUUGCAGGUGCCGAUGAGUCCGUGCAGAUGACGCAACCGAGCUCAGGAGGAUCUCGAUGAAGAUCUUGUCCUUUGUGUUGUUCCGUUUCCAGUUGAUCAGUAGUGGAGCCCAGUCGGGACGAUCGGGGAUCUGUGUAGCAUUUGGGGUAGUCUUCUUUUAUUUUGGUUCCGUAGUCAGACCUUGAGUGUAUUUGGUUGAUGUAAUGCUUUAAUCAUGUAACUGUGUGAAGUGGCGAUUGUAAGCCAACUAUGUAUCUCUUUCCCUUAUGUAUUACAUGGGUUGUGUGAAGAUUACCUCACUUGCGACAUUGCUUUCAAUGCGGUUAUGCCUCUAAGUCGUGCUUCGACAUGUGGGAGAUAUAGCCGCAUCGAGGGCGUUACAGGAACGUAGCAUGCAAUUUCAAAAAAAAUUCAUACGAUCACGCAAGAUCUACCUAUGAGAUGCAUAGUAAUGAUAUGGGAGAGUGUGUCCACAUACCCUCAUAGACCGAAAGCGGAAGCGUUAGGUUAAUGCGGUUGAUGUAGUCGAACGUCUUCACGAUCCAACCGAUCUAGUACCGAACGUACGACACCUCCGAGUUCAGCACACAUUCAACUCGAUGACAUCCCUCGAACUCUUGAUCUAGUAGAGGAUCGAGGGAGAGUUUCGUUAGCAGGCGGCGUGGUGACGGUGAUGGUGAUGUGAUCCGCGCAGGGCUUCGCCUAAGCACUACGGCGCUAUGACCGGAGGAGUAAACUAUGGAGGGGGGCACCGCACACGGCUAAGAGAAUAACUAUUGUGCUAUGGGUGCCCCCGCCCCCCUAUAUAAAGGAGGAGGGGAGGAGGCUGGCCACAAGGGGCGCACCAUAGGGGGGCAAACCGACUAGGACUCCCAAUCCUAGUCGGCCCCCUUUCCUUUCUAUCGGAGGGGAAAAGGGAAGGAGAGGGAGAGGGAGAGGGAAAUAGGAAAGGGGGCCGCCCCCUCCCCCUUGUCCAAUUCAGACUCCCUUAGGGGGGCACCCCUUGCGGGCUCCCCUCUCUCUCCCCUAUGGCCCAUGAAGGCCAAUUACUUCCCCGGGAGGUUCCGGUAACCCCUCGGUUCUUCGAUAAAUAUCCGAAACAUCCCGAAACCAUUCCGGUGUCUGAAUACCUUCGUCCAAUAUAUCAAUCUUUACCUCUCGACCAUUUAGAGACUCCUCGUCAUGUCUGUGAUCUCAUACGGGACUCCAAACAAUCUUCGGUCACCAAGACACAUAACUCAUAAUACAAAUCGCCAUCGAACGUUAAGUGUGUGAACCCUAGGGGUUCGAGAACUAUGUAGACAUGACCGAGACACAUCUCCGAUCAAUAACCAACAGUGAAACCUGGAUGCUCAUAUUGGUUCCUACAUAUUCUACGAAGAUCUUUAUUGGUCAAACCGCAAUGACAACAUAUGUCAUUCCCUUUGUCAUCCGUAUGUUACUUGCCAGAGAUUCGAUCGUCGGUAUCAUCAUACCUAGUUCAAUCUCGUUACCAGCAAGUCUCUUUACUCGUUUCGUAAUGCAUCGUCCCGCAACUACCUCAUUAGUAACAUUGCUUGCAAGGCUUAUAGUGAUGUGCAUUACCGAGAGGGCCUAGAGAUACCUCUCUAAUACUCGAAGUGACAAAUCCUUCGGAGACACCUGUAGAGCAUCUUUAUAAUCACCCAGUUAUGUUGUGACGUUUGAUAGCAUACAAGGUGUUCCUCCGAUAUUCGAGAGUUUCAUAAUCUCAUAGUCAGAGGAAUAUGUAUAAGUCAUGAAGAAAGCAAUGGCAAUUAAACUUAACGAUCAUUAUGCUAAGCUAAGGAUGGGUAUUGUCCAUCAGAUCAUUCUCCUAAUGAUGUGAUCCCGUUCAUAAAAUGACAACACAUGUCUCUGGGCAGGAAACUUAACCAUCUUUGAUUAACGAGCUAGUGAAGUAGAGGCAUACUAGGGACACUAUGUUUUGUCUAUGUAUUCACACAUGUAUCAUGUUUUCGGUUAAUACAAUUCUAGCAUGAAUAAUAAACAUUUACGAUGAUAUAAGGAAAUAUAAAUAACAACUUUAUUAUUGCCUCUAGGGUAUAUUUCCUUCAGUCUCCCACUUGCACUAGAGUCAAUAAUCUAGAUUACAUUGUAAUGAUUCUAACACCCAUGGAGUCUUGCUGCUGGUCAUGUUUUGCUCGUGGAAGAGGCUUAGUCAAUGGGUAUGCAACAUUCAGAUUCGUAUGUAUUUUGCAAAUCUCUAUGUCUCCCUCCUUGACUUGAUCACAGAUGGAGUUGAAGCGUCUCUUGAUGUGUUUGGUUCUCUUGUGAAAUCUUGAUUCCUUCGCUAAGGCAAUUGCUCUAGUAUUGUCACAGAAAAAUUUCAUUGGACCCGAUGCACUAGGUAUUACACCUAGAUUGGAUAUGAACUCCUUCAUCCAGACUCCUUCAUUUGCUGCUUCCGAAGCAGCUAUGUACUCCGCUUCACAGGUAGGUCCGCCACGACGCUCUGCUUGGAACUGCACCAACUGACAGCUCCACCAUUCAAUAUAAAAUACGUAUCUGGUUUGUGACUUAGAGUCAUCCGGAUCAGGGUCAAAGCUAGCAUCAGCGUAACCAUUUACGACAAGCUCUUGGUCACCUCAUAAAAGAGAAACAUAUCCUUAGUCCUUUUCAGGUAUUUCAGGAUGUUCUUGACCGAUGUCCAGUGAUCCACUCCUGGAUUACUUUGGUACCUCCCUGCUAAACUUAUAGCAAGGCACACACCAGUUCUAGUACACAGCAUUGCAUACAUGAUAGAUCCUACGGCUGAGGCAUUGAGAAUGACUUUCAUUUUCUCUCUAUCUUCUGCAGUGGUCGGGCAUUGAGUCUGACUCAACUUCACACCUUGUAACACAGGCAAGAACCCUUUCUUUUACUGAUCCAUUUUGAACUUCUUCAAAACUUUAUCAAGGUAUGUGCUUUGUGGAAGUCCAAUUAAGCGUCUUGAUCUAUCUCUAUAGAAAGCAGUGGGAGGACGCCGCGCGGAGGAAGGAGGAGGCCCAGAUGGAGGAGGACAGGCAAAGGAGGCGGACAAGAACAUGGAUGAGUAUGAGGUACGAUCGUUCAUGCGCUUGCUCGUUCCUUUUGCUAUGAGUUCAGUUUUCCCUUUCCUUUCUGCUCCUAUCUGAAUUGGCAAAAUGAGGAUCAUCAGCAUUACUUUCUGUUCAUCAGCGUGUUUUGACCGAUCAUCAGUGUUUAGGCAGGUUUAGAUCUCUGAAAAAAUUGAUGUUUGCUAUCACUAUAAUGGUAAAAGUAGAAUAGUUGAUCACAAUUCUGUUGCAUUACAAUUUAAAACCCCAAUCCCUUGCCAUAUUUUAGUUUCUACUGAAGAAAUGCCUAAAAAAUGCCCACCUCUACUUAUGGAUGAUGCAGAGCGUGUUCAUUCUUUGUAUGGAAUUUCAGCUAGUGUUCGAUCUUGAUGAAGUGACCGUUCUAAGGAUAAAUCACCACCCCGAUCUCUAUAUCUAGUCAGGUGAGAGUGGUUCUGGCCUCGAUUGGAUGAGGAUGGCGCCUGGGGUCUCUGGCGAUUCGGACGAUGCGGCCCCUCAGCCUCCGGCGCGCCUCGCGGUCGAUCCCGCCAGUCCGCCUCUCCGCUGCCGGCCACCGCCUCCUUGCCGCCCGCCCCCUCGUCGGAGGAUGCGCCUCCACCGCCGGCCAGUCCCGAGCCAUCCCGCUUCCGCUGGUCCAACCUCGUGGAGGACAAGGUGGCCUCGCCUGCCGGUGACUGCCCUGGCUCGCCCCCCUCCCAUCACUACAAAAAAUACACUUCCGUGAUGAUACGUUUUUGUCACAGUAGGUCGCGUUUUCUGUCAUGCAUGUACAUCCAUGACAAAUUUAUGACAGAAUCAAGAUAGUCAUACCUGUGCUGUCGUAGAAGUGUGCCAUGACAUUACCAAACUUAUCAUCACGGAAGAGUCCACUUCCAUGACGAUAAAUCGUGCGUCACAGAAGUGCUUUCGUCAAGGGUGACCGACAUGUGGCAUCCACCGUAACGGAACGCCCUUAAGAUAUCGGGUCGGGUUUUGGAUCCGAUAACCCGUUAACAACCCCGACCAAUGGGGAUUUUCCACGUGUAAAAUCAUCAUUGGCUGGAGGAAACACAUGUCGACUCAUCGUUGGGACAGAUGUCAACCACUCAUUGGAUGGAAGGCGCCUAUGAUACGUCUACACAUGGCACGGGCCCAACAGAGGCCCAUUCCUAUGAAAAGGCCGGCCCGUUUGACUUGGUUAAAAGCUGGCGGGCCGGCCCAUGGAAAGCCUGUUAAUGGCCUGUUCGAAUAUAGCCCAUUUACAGCCCGCUAACCCAAGGCCCGUUACGCCCUAUCCGAAUUAGGCCUAGUAGCGUCAUCUGGGACAUCCAAUAUGAUUCCAGCCCAUUUUCACUUCUGGCCCAUGUAUGGCUGAUGACGUCUUUUGGCCCAUAUGAGGCCCUAUGUAACUCUUGGCCUACUAACGGCCCGUGGUGAAACUGGCCCGUAAUGAACCGUGUAUCACUUUACACCCAUUAAUGGCCCGUGGUGAAACUGGCCCGUAAUGAACAGUGUAUCACUUUAUACCCAUUAACGACCCGUUAUUGCGUUGGGCCGUUUCCAGCCCAUGUUAUCUUUCGGCCUUCUGAGAGCCCAUUUAUUCUUGGGCUCAUUUCCAGCAUUCGUUUACUUACGGCCCGUUACUGUCAUUUUCUGCUUGUGGGCCAAAUUCAGCCCGUGGUUAUAGUCGGCCCGUUUGUGGUCCGUUAAUACGUUGGGCCGAUUUCAUAGCGUCAUCAAAUACGGACUAUUAACGAUGGCCUGUUAUGGUCGGCCCAUGAACGGAUGAUUCCAACUCUAGCCCGUUUACGGCCAUAAUGCGGUCUGUUUGGCCCAUGUUUGGCCAAUCGAUUAUACGACCUGUAUAAGGCCCAUUGAUAAUACGGCCCACAGAAGGCACAUUGUUUCUACGGCCCGUAGAAGGCCCAUUGUUUCGACGACCCAUAGAAGGCCCAUUGUUUCUAUGGCCAGUAGGAGGCCUAGUGUCACUACAGUAAAUAUUAGCCCAUGGUUAUUGUGGCCUAGUUUUAAAAAAUAGGUUAUUGCAGCAACUAGCUAACCGCGGAAAAAGAACUGCAAUGACUACAAGCAAAGAAAUAAACAAGACAACAAGGAAAUAAACAAGCAAGCAACUAACGCUAGGCUAUCACAGCUAUUACACAUAUUACAUCCACUGGGCAUCAAAGUUUGCCACCAGUGCAAAUAUAGGGAACAAAGCAGCAUAUCAUAUACACUGGUUGUCAAAGUUGGCGACCAGCACAAAUAAACGCCGCAGCAAAACAAAUCCAGAAUUGAAACCACUUCAGAAGAUCUCAAGAAACAAUAUCCUGGGUACCCAUAAUGCUGGCAAGAUGCUUAGCAAGCUUAUUAACUUUCUCUUGUUUGGCGCUUAAAUCCUCCAGCGCUUGCUGUUGCACCAGAAAAUAUGCAUCUGAAUUUUGCAGGGACUUCCUCAGUCCUUCAGCUUCCUGUCGCAGCACAUCUGAUCGAUGUCUUUCAACUUGAAGUUGAGACUCAAGAAGACGAACUAAUUCAGGCAGCGAGUUUGAAGAGCUUGUGCCAGUAGUAGUGUCCAGUAACUCGAACACUACAUCAAGACAGGACUUUUGGGUUCCCUCACUGUCGUCAAGAUAGUUUUUAUCAGCUUUCUUGGAGACCAACAGGGAUGUCUCACUAUCUUGAACCUUAUCUGCAUUACUUCCUUUACCAUUGGAUAACGCGGUACUGUUCUCCAAUAUUUUGUCCGCAUUCUAAAAGAGAAACAAGUAGACACAUCACAUGUUUGCCAUGUUGUAUAUGAAACUCAUUUUGGUAAAUGAGUUCAGUAGUAAAGUGGACAGGAUAACAGCAUGAAACAAACAUAUAUCUAUGUACCAUGGUCAAUUUAUGGCCUAUAUCAUUCUAGUUUUUGUUGCCAAAUCAAGAUAUAGACACAGUUCAAAUAAUAUUUGUUCAAGACAAAGUAGAAUAGACAGAAUAUAAGUGUGGGUAACUAUAGAGCAAUAACAACACUUGUAAUGUGCAUGACAUGAGAACAUAACUGUUUAUUCAAUUGAAACUGAAAUCAACAUAGAGCAGGUUACAAUAGCAAACUAGUUAAAGAAACAGGUUUAAAACAUACCUGUUGCGCCAUUGGAGUUUCAAUUCCAUCCUUCAAAUUUGAAAAUAGUUGGUAUGAGUAAAUACAGUCAUGCAAGAGGAAAGGAGUAUGAACCAUAGCUACAGAACCUGACCUGAGAACAAAUCUUCUUCUCCUUUAAGCGUUGAGUUGGGAUUCGGAGUGGUGGUCCUCGUGCUUUGGGCACUGCAGUUCCCUUACUAACUGCUCGUGUUUGGGUGCUCUGUGGUAGAGAUGGUGCUGUGUCAACUGGAACUGGGUUACUAUCUACCGGGGUUGGGGUUAGAAGGGGUGUAGCUGGUUCUCUGUCCAACUGGGUAGGGGUACAAUCUGCGAGAGUCUGGGUUAUGUGUGGUGGAUCUAGUCCUUGGGCAAGUACAACCGUGGUUCUAUCUGCAUCAAUUGGUAGCACUAUCUUUUCUGAAGACCGUGUUGUUACUCCCUUAGAUACCGCCAUCACGCUCUCCAAUUCAAAUGGCUGAUAAACAAGAAAAGUAAUUGAAAGUAUAGACAUUGUAUGAUAGACAGGUGCAAUGGAUAGUGGGGAAUAAAAGAGGGCAUGCAAUAAUUCAUAUUUAUGUUGUCUAACCAAACAGGAUAGCAUGACACAAUUUCACAUAUAUGAUGGCUAACUAAACAGGAUAGCAUGACACAAUUUCACAUUAUGAUGGCUAACUAAAAAACAUGGAAAUACAUAGUUCAAAAUAUGAGACUAUGUAAAUAGGAUGACAUGACAUAACUAUAUAAUGUGUUUAUUAAAUAGGUUGGCAUGCCAUAAUUCACAUACAUUCACGGAUAGAAUGCCAUAAUUCAAAAUAUGAUGACCGUAAACACUAAAUAGGAUGAGAUGAUAUAACUAUAUGAUGUCUUUAUUAAAUGGGUUGCCAUGCCAUAAUUCAGAUAGAUGAUGUGUAUGUACUAUGUAAACAUGAUGGCAUGAUAUAAUUCAAAUAUAUGAUUUGUAUAGUAAGCAAGUAAGCAGAUGGCAAUCCAUAUAUGAUGUAAAAACUAAGCAAUGCAAGACAACAUGCAUGACAUGGGUAAUAUAACCCUGCCAAGUUUGAGCACAGACCUCAGGGGGAAAAUAGGACUGGUCAUCAGUCUCUGAAUCCUCCUCUGAGGAGCUCUCUGUAACCAGCAAGAUGUCUGCUUCAGCAGGUAGCAUUGUCCGCUCUGAAUACCUUGUUUUCACUCCAGAUACUUCCAUCACCGCUUCAAAUGGCUGAUGCACAGGAAGAGUAGUUGAAUAUACAAACGUUGUCGACAAAUGGAACACGUAAUACAAAAAAUGAUAGCAUGAUAUAAUUCACAUAUAUGAUGAUUGGCUAAACAACAUGGCAGUGCAUAAUUCACAUAUAUAAUGCCUUUGCAACAAGAUAGCAUUGUAUAAUUCACAUAUAUAAUGUCUUGCAACAAGAUGGCAAUGCAUAAUUCACAUAUAUGGUAAUUAGACACUGAACAGGUGGCAUUCACACAAAGCAUGUCUAAACUAAUCAAAUGACAUAGCAACGCGAGACACCAUACGCACGAUAUGAGCAACAUAACCCUGCCAAGUUAGAGCAUACACCUGGGGGGUGGGGGGUGGGGGGAAUAGGACUGGCCAUCUGUCUCUGAAUCCUCCUCUAAGGAGCUAUCCGUAACCAGCAAGAUAUGCGCUUCGUCAGAUAUCAUAGUCUGCUCUGAAGACCUUGUUUUCACUCCAGAAUUUGCCAUCACCGUGUCAAAUGGCUGAUGCAGACGAAGAGCAGUUGAAUGUAAUAACAUUAUUGACAAAUGUAAUAUGUAACGAAAAAAAGGAUGGCCUGAUAUAAUUUACAUAUAAGAUGACUGGCUAAGCAGGAUGGCAUUGCAAAAUUCACAUAUAUGAUGCCUAGCUAAACAAGAUGGCGUUUCAUAAUUCACAUAAACGAUGAAUAAACUAAACAGAUGGCAUUCACACAAAGGAUGUCUAAACUAAGCAGAUGACAUAUUUGAUGUAUAAAGUAAGCAAUGCAAGACACCAUAUGCAUGAUAUAACCAACAUCAGCAUGCCAAGUUAGAGAGAAGACCUCAGGGGGUAAAUAGGAGUUGUCUUCUCCUUCUAAAUCCCCCUCAGAAAAGAUAUCUUCCUCUCGAUUACAAUCCGAAAUGCGUGGAGGGGGGCUGCCUUUGCGCCUACCAUGGAGCGACGUCUGCAUGAAAUUUUAUUGCCACGCAAGGCUCGUCUCUUUUGCUCUACAUGUUCAGUUCCAUUGUUUACAAUAACUGUCAUGCAUAGGAAUAAACCAUAGUGAGAUUAUGUAAGGAGUGCAUGCAGAAAUCCAGAGUGAUGGUAGCAACCUAUGGAUAGACCCAAAACCAAUAAUAGCAGGCAGAUAAUGGCUUCAGUUAAAAAUACAGAUAAUGGCUUCUUUACUGUUUGUUUCCCACCCAACAUGAAACUCAUAGUAGACACCGGAGAUUAACCAGAUAGUAGAUAGAUACUAUUGAUAGCGGCCCCGAUAUGUACCCCACAACCAUUUAAAAACUCAAGUUUGACCAUUAGUUUGGAGCUGACUUAGAGUCUAAUCGGUGAACAGGAUGAUAAAGUAGCAUGUAAUAUUAAGCGGUGCAUAACGUAAGCAGACACGAAAGAGUGCGACCUCUCUUGCGGACCCGUGUAGGCCUCGAGGUCAUCUGCUCGGUUGAUGAUGGUAGUGCAGUUUUCAUGGCUGCCAGCGGCGGGGAAGAAGAUCUGAGGCGGCGAAAGACAGUCUGGAGGCCGGAUCCCUGCUGUGCUGGACCCUUUUGUCAUUGGAGCAGCUAAGCUGGGGUGGACGACGGCGCAGCAGGAGCGGGACAAACCACACAAGGUUUUCUUUGACAACUAUCUAUAAGAGAAGUAAUUCUGUAAGGGCUCGUUUGAAUUGGAGGAUUCCAACAAUGCAGCGAUAGGAAAUAGACAAGAAUAGGAUAGGAAUGCAUGUGCAAAAUAGAGAAUUUAAAAACACAGGAUUUCUGCCAAUCUGGGUGUUUGAUUCACAACAAUUGGAUGAUCACAUGAUGCAAAGAAGCAUGGUGAGAUUAAGUCAAACCACAAGAAAAUGUAUGGUUAUAAUGCUAUUAUGCUACUAUCUCUUAGUCUUGUGCUUCAUGAAUAGGAAUUUGAAAAGGAGGACAAGUGAAAAUUAAAAUUCCUACAUUUUUUCUUUCAAGGAGACACUAAAGGAACAAAUCCGUAAAAAAGAGAUGCAACAAGUGUACAACCUCUUUGGCGAAGCCAUGUCGAUCUCAGCGUGAUUGGGUUGGCCAGUGAGGAUGCUCCGGCUGACUUGGCUGACGGAGGAGGGGAAGAAGAUCUUAGGCGUCUGGAGAUGGUGCCCGAGGUACUGCUCCGCUGUGAUGGAGGGUUUCGUCGUUGGAGCAGCUCCGGUGAGUUGUACGAUGCCGAGGCUGAAGCAGGACAAGAGAGACAACGAACAACGUUAACCUCAGUGGAAUUCUAAUAGCAUCUCCAAUACACGACAUAAAAUACAUAAACACAAAGUGCUAGAUGUAAAAUACAUCAGCCGCUCAUCUCUGAACUUAACUGUCGAAUGUGAAUUUAACUGUCGAAACUGAACUUAACUGUCGAAACUGAAUUUCGCUGUCAAAACUGAAUUUUGCUGUCGAAACUGAACGCACUAGUAAGGUGAGGCUACACGUCGGUCGACUGACUUUUUCAUCUCUGGUCAGUCGAUUUUGCAGCCGUUGGAUACGAAAUCAAGGGCCUGCGGUUCAUCUUCAACCUCCACCCCCUGAGACGGCCAAACAGCAGCCCCCCGCCGCCCGCGGCAGGCGGUGCGCCGCCCUGCCCGCCCCGAAAACACUCCCCACCGUUGGUCCGCCGCCGCCCCGGCCAUCCCUCUAGCCCCCCCCCGUGCCGAGCUUUUUCUCCGGCGAUCCCCACGCCACCGCCCCGCCAAUGCCCCGCCACCGUCGGCGACCACCGCCCCCAUCCUGAACCCUAAGAUAGAUAGUGGGGUACCACUCCGGCAAGCCCCCUCCCCACUGCGGCUGGUUCUUCCUUCACCCCGGCGGCAUCAGAGUGAAGUGUAGCUAAAUCGGAGCAGCAUCGCAAGCAAGAGCAAGAGCGAGAGCAGCAGCGCGAGCAAGAGCAAUAGCAAGAGCCGACCAGGCAGGGGACCGAGAGCAAGAGCAGAGUAGCAGCGCGAGCGAGAGCUAAAGCAGCAGUAGGUCCUACUGAUGUGGACGUCGAUGCCGAGGGAGCGGCGCCAUGGAGGAAGUGGCCGGCGACGCCGCCGUGGAUGGAGCCACGCCGUGUUGGCUCGGGACUGAGCGCCGGCAGCACCGUGAGAUCGAAUCAAGAAGAGAAUGUGGCGAUUAGUGUACAACCUCUUUGGUGGCGCCGAUUAGGCCGCAGCUUCAUCCGAGGAGAACAGUGAUGAUGAUGCUCUUCCGGUGGUGCAGGUGAAGACGACGGUGUGGGAAUGGAGGUGGCGCGAAAGACGAGGGGAACAUCGGGGCAACUCCUUGGAGGUGGAGGAUGGGGUGGCUGAACCGGCGGGAUGAUGAGAUCGACGACGGAUCCUCAUCCGAUACGAUGGAUGAGGGACGUCGAGGUGUUGCUGUGGACGACGUCGUCGGGGAAGAGCCUCCGGCUAGGUGGCAGAUGGAGCAGGGUGUGGGGUUUCGUCGCGGGUUUUCGCGGCCUUGAUGUACGAAUGGGUGGGCGGAUGGGAUGGUAGUGGGGAACCAUGGCUUAGAGACGCGCUUGUCCGAAAUGCGGGGUAAGUUACGAAAGUACCCCCUCCGAUUUGAGGCGGUUCUUUCGGUUCAGGGGUACCACGGGCAUUUCACGUGUCGGGAUUUCAUAGGAGGUGGGAUUUUUGGCGCGUUUUGUAAUUUCGGAAUAGCAAGGCGCGGGUUGAGAUGGAGGGAGUUGUCGGAGCACAACGAGACAAAGAUAUAUCUUAAAUAUUUCAGGCUAACAAGGCGCGGGUUGAAAUUUCCGGACAAGCCUAAUGUGUACUGUACCAAAUCAAUGCGCCCUACAAAUGUCAUUCAAAACUUUGAAUUCAUGUUAUGUUCAAUUAAAAUAUUUCGUUACGUGUAUAAUGCAUGCAACCUACUACUCAAAUGAACGUUUUAGUGCAUUCCAAACGUAUAUACUACCACUUCAAUAUGAACAAAAUUUAAAUUCGUUUCUCUAUUUGAAUAAGAUCUACAGUAAUGAUUGUUGUGAAGUCAAAGCAUUUGCAUUCGUUUCUCUAUUUUAAUAAGAUCUACAAUCAUCAUUAUUGUCAAGUUAAACCAUCGUUUGUGUAUUAUCUUCACAGCACACCACAUGAUUAGUCUCGAGUUACAUAUGAACUAUGUGUACUAUAUGAACUCGAACUAGAUUUUUUGAAUCCACUUUAUUUUGAUUUCAAAUCACAUUACAUUUCUAGCUCUAGCUAGAUCUUCAUAAUCUAAACCAUGUCUCAUAUGUAUAAUGUGUUUAUCACAUUAUGUAUGGUGUCCCACCCCUACGCCUACAAGUAUUUAGAUGUGAGUUGCAAACACCACACAUUACCACAAAUUCAAAUAAAAUGUGAGAAUGUUCGAUAUAUAGUAUUGUUUAGAUUGUUCAAUGUUUAGUUGUAAGCUGCAAACGCCACACAUUAUCACAAAUUCAAAUAAAAUGUGAGAUUGUUUGAUGUAUAGUAUGGUUUAGAUUGUUCGACAUUUAACUGUGACUUGCAAACGCCAUGCAUUAUCACAUUAUGGUAUAACAUGUGCACAACACGUGUAUCACCGCUAUAUUCAUGCAUGCAAUGUUUAAAACACUAUGAUCUCCUAUUCAAAUAUUUGAAUCCGCUUUCAUAUCAAAUUAUGAUCUUUGUUAGUCUCUUACACCCACACAAUCCUCUAACCUUUGUAGCUACCACUAACUUUCUCUCGUGCAUGCACACGCCCUCCUCGCCCUCCCCCUCCCUCGGCAUUCUAUCCACCAGGCACAUUCAUUUUUUUUCUUUAGGUCGUUCUCCCAGAGUCUCCACAACUCCUUUACGACACACACCGAUCGAUAAACCUCUCCAGCGAUGUCUGCCUACAACAUACAAACACACCUUCAAUCUCCUCCUUUAUGUGUCCUUGCCUCGUGUCUCUGAUACGGUCAGACACACGUGUAAACUCUCGCCCCUCUUUUCAUCGCUCUCACAACCACACACUCCUCCCCCUAUCUAGCUAGUAGUUGGGCCUCUCGCACCACCUCCUAGCUCCAUUCUCUCCGUCUAUCCGUCUCGCUGGGCCUUAUUUGCCUCUAACAAAUGGAUGUACACCGAUCGAUCUCUUGCUAUACAUAUAGCUAGCUAGGUUCUUAUAACUCAUUUUUACCCACGUUAAUCAAUCUACCUCAUUAGUUGUGUCUCUCCCUUCCUCCGACAAACAACAAUUGAUCUACCGAUCUAGUUAGGUUUGCUAACCAAACACAUGGUUCCCCUUCAUCAUCCAUGGAUGCGUCCCGACAGAUCUAUCACGCACAGGCACACACAGAAACACGUCCCCACUCUUAUUGAUAACAUUGCAGUUCCACCCUCAGUUUGUCUAGUAGGCCUCUCCCACCAUCUUCGAGAAGCAACUCCAUCACCCAUCCAGCACUCUACCCCUCUCCCUCCCUCUCCCUCCCUCCCUCUAUCUCUCUCUCCUCUCUCUCUCUCUCCCAUCAUAUUUCCCGUCCUUCAGUUAUGUAUGGAUGUCGACCGAUCUCCCUCAAGACAUAGCUGGGUCUCUCCUUCUCAACACAUAUACGAGUCGUUCUACCUCUAUAGUUAGGCCUCUGCCUACCCCUCCCACCACCCCCCCACACACUGAUACAUCGAGCGCUCUAGUCAUGUCUCCCUGCCACACACAAACUUGACGUGUGCCCUCUAACGUUCCGGUAGGCCAGUCGCCCUAUAUCUUUGACUUGUACACACACACAAUUUCGAUGGCUCUCUUCAUUGAUCUCGCACCCACCCACUUGAUCCUCUCUUCGACUCUAUCAAUAGCUAUGACCCCUCCCUCUCUUCUCAUGGAUUGCCCGACCCUCUAUGUAUGAUAUGGAUAGGCCUCCAUUUCACACACAUUGCAUGCAAAAUUUUGUUUGAGAUGUCAUCGACACAUAUUCCCACAAAUAAUUCACGAAAUCAACCCCCACCCCACCCCCACCCCAAAACAAAAAACACUCACGAACGCGGUUUGUAUCUCUCACACACACCCACGUAGGUGGGGGACGUGCACAAAGAGAAGAGGUGCAUGCACGGCACACGUACUCCCGUCUCUUUCCCAACCACACCCGCGCGGGUACACGGUGGAGCUCAUUUCUGUACGAAAAAGGCAGCCCACGUGGUAAUUUGGCACAUGUACUGGUUGUCCACUUGGUGGAGGGAGGAUCGUCUACCACGGGUGAACAAACAAAUUGCGACUUGACGUGUUAUGUUAAAAAAGAGGCAAACCAUGUGGGGCCUACCUUAGAGGCAAGGCUCUAUACACUGGAGUACUUUUGAUGUGUCCCGUCAACUCGCAGAACGAGGAGAAGCUUGCUUAGUACGCCGUCUCCCCCGCCCACGGGCGCGAUGGCUCGCAGGAUGAGGUGAAGCUUGCUUACCACGCCUUACGCCCGCUCAAUCGCCCAUGCGCGCGGUGGCUCGCAGGAUGAGGAGAAAAAUUUACUACUCCCUCCGUUUACUCCUCGUCCCUACUACCUUGGUUAUAGAGAUUAUAUCAUAUUAUUUGGAAUAUAUAUGUCCUUUAGUAGAUUUCAAUAUGAGCUACUAGUACAUACUCCAAACACUGAUGUAUAUAGCCGUAUUUUAGAGUGUAGAUUCACUCAUUUUGCUCCAUAUGUUGCACUCUCCCUCGCCCCUCGACCCUCGCCCACGUGGUGGACGUGCAGCAAUUCAUUCGGUCUCAUAUAGCCAGAACGAUAUAAACUGCACUACCAUUAUUGCUCGACUUCCCGAAGAGGCGAAGAGCCAAUCGCAAGGUUAAUAUUUUGGAGAUGCCAAGCGCAAGGUUAUAGGACAACGAGUAGUAGGUGCCGCGUCAUUUAUGAAUAAAGUUUUUUUUUCUUCAGUGGCACGUACGCAAUAUGAUAGGUUCAUAUGGAGAGAAAAGGAAACCGCUCCACUAUAUACAUAGUCAGGACGGGCCAGCCUACACGGUUGCUUGCUGGGGUUGCUCUCUUCACACUCUCUCGCACAAAAUGACUAUGGCCACAUCUCUAACAUCCCGGCGGAUCACGUCCACUAGGGGAAGGGGUGGAUGUUUAGUGUAGAUGCGGUGGCCGUCGCCGACGGCGAAAACCCAGUGUCGGCACGUCCCGAUCAGGGGUCCCCGCCGUUCUCUCUCACAAAGCCGGUGAGGUUGCCUUCGUCCCUUGCUCACUGCCGCGACUUGGGCAGUUGCCGCCUCCCGCCGCCCUCCUCAAGGUUGAGCUACGUCCCUCAGGUACAACUCCCUUUACAGCCGGCUUGCACCACUUCUCCAGCUACCCACACCACUCCCUAUGGAUAUUUCUCUACUUCUUUGCCCCGCACAUACCUCUACUGGCUUCUAUGUACUGUAUUUGUGAUGAGUUUAUGUCUCAUCAACUAGUCCCAGUAAUCUUAUUCUAAUCACGCUUGUUCAAUUUCUUUGCCACAGGGAUACUCAUCUCGAUUUUGGUGAAACUGCACAAAAUGAUCCGAUGGUCAAAAGGUUGCAAACUUCAUUUAUUAGGAAGAUCGAACGUUGCCAGCAAAUUGAAGCCUGGUCAGGGUUCACGGUUCAAGGGCUAGGGACGGCAUGGAUCGUUUUUUUCUUUAGAUGCCUCUGUUCCAAAAUAAGUGUCAACUUUAGUAGUAGUACAACUUUGUACUAAAGUUUGCACAAAGUUGAGAAACUUAUUUUGGAACGGAGGGAGUACAUAUUUGCUAUGAUCUGUCAAUCAUUGAGAUGCAAUAGCAUGCAUGUUAGUCUUCUUUGUAUUUGAUGAAAUGUUGCAACGGGCAACCUUGGACGCAAGAUACAUGUAACAGAAGCUGGAAGCUUCAUAGCAUUGUACAAAUUUAUCUCGCUGAUAAAUUACAACACGUACUAUACUAGUACUUCCUCCGUUCCUAAAUAUAAGUCUUUGUAGAGAUUUCACCAUGAACCACAUGCAGAUGUAUAUAGAUGCAUUUUAAGUGUAGAUUCAUUCAUUUUGUUCCGUAUGUAGUGGAAUCUCUACAAAGACUUAUAUCUACUAGUAAUAGCUAGCCCCCACUACUAGGAAUUCUCUAUCCUCUCCUUGAGCCACAUCAUCAAAAUUGAUGUAGCCGUUAGAUGAAGUAAAUCGGUCCAUAAUAGCCGUCUGAUCUUGACGUUGAGAGGCUCUACACUAAGCCACAUGCAAGCAUGCAGAAAUAGUGUGCAACAUGCAUGUGAGUGGGUUUUGAAUCACAUCAACAUGUCUGCAUGCAAGCAUGCACCGGUAGCAUGCAUGUAAGUGAGCAUUUAAGUCCCAUUAACAUGUCAAAAAGAAAAAUAUAAUCCCAUUAUGCAGUAGGAGUUGGAUGAUCUUUUUUCCUUACGUGGGAUGAUCUAAAUGAUGAUGGGAAUUUAUUUAGUUUGGCUACCACAUUUGUCAUGCGGUUAUAGAGUUUUUUAUUGUUCUAUGAAAUCAAUAAUUUUGCGCAGAGAGAUAUACCGCUGUUCCGCGCCAAUGCGCGGGGACUCAUCUAGUAAUAUUUAGGAACGGAGGGAGUACUAUGUAAAGAGUUAGGUGUCUCACGGUGAUAGUGUGAGGUGGGCCAUGUAAUCACUGAGCCUGCGUGUUUUCACUGCUCUUGCACACCUCCGCUGUUAGAAUGGAGAAAAUUGUAAUCUAGUAGUAGUAUACCUCCUUUUGCCGAAAGCGUGGGACAUCCAGCAGUCCUACCACCUUAGUAAUAAAGACCAAUGAGCCAUCAAAUCACAUAGACCCAGCAGUAAGUUGGACGGACGAAGCAACCAUCACUCUUGUGCCAGUGAGAGGUCGCGCCCGCUCUGCCCGGGCAUGAAUGCGGCACCGAUUCUUUGGAGCGGCGCUGACCGUUUCAGGCGGGAAGCGCGUGCGGGCGAUGGAGGGGCUUUGGGUGGGCCAGGCUGGUCAGGAGCGGGUGUGGCAGCUGUCCGCAUGUCCCUACCGGACACGCCCAGAAAUGAGAGGAUGCACCGACUCUCGCGGCUAAAAUCGUACACUACACAACAUCUCUCUAUAGGAAUAGGUCGAUCUGUCGCUCUCUCUAACACACACACAUGGUGUUAAACACACACACACACACACACACACACACACACCUUGGUCCCGUUGCACCUUCUAACGUGACUUAUUACACCUAGACGGAGGGAGUAGUAAGUAUACGAGAUACAGUGGCACACUGACUGUAACGCCCUCGAUGCGGCUAUAUCUCCUACGUGUCGAAGCACGACUUGGAGGCAUAACCGCAUUGAAAGCAAUGUCGCAAGUAAGGUAAUCUUCACAACAACCCAUGUAAAUAGAUAAAAGGGGUAAAGGUACAUAGUUGGCUUACACUCGCCACAUCACACAAAUACAUGAAUAACAUUACAAUCAUCCAAUACACUCAUGGUCCGACUACAGUACCAAAAUAAAAGAUCAACCCCCACAUGCGACACGGUCCCCGAUCGCCCCAGGUGGGCACCACUACUGAUCAUCUGGGAAAGACACAUAGUAACGGCGAGAGUCUUCAUCGAACUCCCACUUGAGCUCAAGCGCAUCAUCUGGAACGGUAUCAUCGGUCCCUGCAUCUGGUUUGGAAGUAAUCUGUGAGUCACGGGGACUCAGCAAUCUCGCACCCUCGCGAUCAAGACUAUUUAAGCUUAUAGGUAAGGCAAGGUAAUAUGUGGAGCUGCAACAAGCGACUAGCAUAUAUGGUGGCUAACUUGUUCGCAAAAGAGAGCGAGAAGAGAAGGCAAAAGCACGGUCGAACAACUAUGAUCAAGAAGUGAUCAUAGAACAACCUACGUCAAGCAUUACUCCAACACCGUGUUCACUUCCCGGACUCUGCCGAGAAGAGACCAUCACGGUAACACACGCGGUUGAUUCAUUUUAAUUAAGUUAAGUUUCAUGUUAUCUACAACCGGACAUUGACAAAUUCCCAUCUGCCCAUAACCGCGGGCACGGCUUUCGAAAGUUCAAAUCCCUACAGGGGAGUCCCAACUUAGCCCAUCACAAGCUCUCACGGUCAAUGAAGGAUAUUCCUUCUCCCGAGACAUUCCGAUCAGACUCGGCAUCCUGGUUUUACAAGACAUCCUCGACAAUGGUAAAACAAGUCCAGCAACACCGCCCGAAUGUGCCGACAAAUCCCGAUAGGAGAUGCACAUAUCUCGUUCUCAGGGCACACUCAGAUAGGUCAAGCUACAAGUAAAACCAACCCUCGAGUUUCCCCGAGGUGGCCCCGCAGGCUACCCAGUUCGGACCAACACUCAGAGGAGCACUGGCCCAGGGGGGUUUAACUAAAGAUGACCCUUGGGCUCCGGAAACCCAAGGGAAAAAGAGGCUAGGUGGAAAAUGGUAAAACCAAGGUUGGGCAUUGCUGGAGGAGUUUUAUUCAAGGCGAACUGUCAAGGGGUUCCCAUUAUAACCCAACCGCGUAAGGAAUGCAAAAUCCGGGAACAUAACACCGAUAUGACGAAAACUAGGGCGGCAAGAGCGGAACAAAACACUAGGCAAAAGGCCAAGCCUUCCACCCUUUACCAAGUAUAUAGAUGCAUUAUUAUAACAAGAUAAUAUGGUGAUAUCCCAACAAUAAACAAUGUUCCAACAAGGAACGAUCUCCAAUCUUCACCUGCAACUAGCAACACUAUAAGAGGGGCUGAGCAAAGCGGUAACAUAGCCAAUCAACGGUUUGCUAGGACAUGGUGGGUUAGAGGUUUGUCAUGACAAUUUGGGAGGCAUGAUAAGAAAGUGGUAGGCAUCGUAGCAUAGGCAUAGCAAAAGAGCGAGCAUCUAGCAAGCAAAGAUAGAAGUGAUUUCGAGGGUAUGAUCAUCUUGCCUGCAAAGUUGUCAGAGUUGACUUGAUCCUCGUAAGCGAACUCAACGAGCUCCUCGUUAGCGAACUCGUCUCCCGGCUCUACCCAAAAAAGACAAACAAGCAAAAGGAACACAAUCAACCACGUGCAAUGCUCAAACAACAUGAUGCAAACAUGGUAUGCUAUGCGGGAUGCGAUAUGUGAUGCAUAUGCAAGAUUUGACAAGGAAUGAUUGAACCUGGCCUCAACAUGGAAAUCCAAGAGUGCCACUGGAAAGGUGAGGUGAUUUCGGUUGAAAUCGAUAUAAAGAUCACCGGAAUCGGAUGCACGGUUUGGAAAUGGCAAGCAAAACAAAUAUGGCACCAGUCUACGAUAAUCAGCAAGUAGCCAUCUAAAAGCAUCAAGAUAAUUAUGCUACAGCACUCAAACAUGACAAAAAAAUACAUGGAAGGGAUCCACUCAUGAUUCUUGACAAAAGAUGAAAACUGAGCUACGGCCAAUUCAUCCAUUAACAGGUUCAAACAAGCAUGGCAAAAGUGCAAAUGAUAACAGGUUUCAGACUUAGUGAAAUUAACACAAGUCUGGAAUUAAACAUCAGGUAGCACACUAUAGAGCAUGAAAACUACAUGCUACAGGAACUUAACAUGGCAAAGCACAUGAAGCUACUCAAAGCACUUAACAAAAGUCCCUUAGUGACCUUGAGCCAAAAGGGAUCAGAAAAUACAAUUGCAAGCAUGUGAACAUGGCAAAAACAUAAUCAGAUUACAGACUUGGUGAAAAACUGGAGCAUGCAAAUCAGUUAGCGAGUAGGCAUGUUCACGAGCUCGAUGCACUCACUACAGAGCAUGGCAUGACAAACUAAGCAUACACCCAUCAAGAAUACAUGGCAUAGAAGCUAGACAUGGCAAGAACAACAACAUAGCAUGCACGGAUCAAUAGCAUCAUCCUCGGCAAAAUUGCUAACAAGUCAACAAUCUGCCAGGAUUCACGAAAUAGCAAAAGUAGAGCUCGAUUGACUCAAGCUAGGGUUCUCCAUAAAUGCAAACAAAGACAUGGAUGGAUAGAGCACCACAAGGUUAACAAAUCAUCCUUACUGAUCAUCCCCAAAAGAGGCACGGAUCAUUAGGAAACAACAUGAACAUAUGGCAUAACGACAAAAAUAGGGCAAAGACUUUGCAAGCUUGUGCUAGUCAUCACACAUAUCACAAAAAUACAUGGUAAGCACCUCUAUAAAGAUGGAAUGACAUAUAACAAAACACAUGUAGAGCUUAGGAGCAUAUCAUGCACACAUUAAUCAUGGCAAAAAUGACAAAUAUCUAUUUGAUGAAACAGAUCAGGCAAUUUUAUCAUAUAGCCCUCUUCCAAUAGCAUUUUGGGCAUCAAGAUGAGCUCAAAUUAAAAUGAUGCACUGAGAUUAAAUGAUGUACUCAUUGAGGCGAACAUUUUGAUAUGCUACACGCGCAAAUCGGAGCUACGGAUGCGGAGAUACGACAUGAUGAAAAUCGCAAAAAAACUAGUGUCUCUGGGGAUAAAAGUCAACCCUCGCGAAAACUAGAUCUGGAUCUGGGGACACGCUUCCCAAGGUUGGCCGGAGUAGCUUGCUGGAGUUGCGGGAUGAGGUGGCCGGAGCGGGAGGACGACGUGGCACCGGCGAGGAUGGACGGGGAGGCCGGGUCGACGGAGGGCACCGCCAGAGCUCGGCGGCGCGGGUCGGCGAGGAGAGGCGUCAGGCACUGGCGGGGAGGAGGCCNNNNNNNNNNNNNNNNNNNNNNNNNNNNNNNNNNNNNNNNNNNNNNNNNNNNNNNNNNNNNNNNNNNNNNNNNNNNNNNNNNNNNNNNNNNNNNNNNNNNNNNNNNNNNNNNNNNNNNNNNNNNNNNNNNNNNNNNNNNNNNNNNNNNNNNNNNNNNNNNNNNNNNNNNNNNNNNNNNNNNNNNNNNNNNNNNNNNNNNNNNNNNNNNNNNNNNNNNNNNNNNNNNNNNNNNNNNNNNNNNNNNNNNNNNNNNNNNNNNNNNNNNNNNNNNNNNNNNNNNNNNNNNNNNNNNNNNNNNNNNNNNNNNNNNNNNNNNNNNNNNNNNNNNNNNNNNNNNNNNNNNNNNNNNNNNNNNNNNNNNNNNNNNNNNNNNNNNNNNNNNNNNNNNNNNNNNNNNNNNNNNNNNNNNNNNNNNNNNNNNNNNNNNNNNNNNNNNNNNNNNNNNNNNNNNNNNNNNNNNNNNNNNNNNNNNNNNNNNNNNNNNNNNNNNNNNNNNGCCGGCGCGCGGGGCGACUCGGGCCACGGGGGCUUGCCCCGGGCCUCGGCAGGCCGGCGGCGCGGGAGGCGGUGGUGGCGGCUAGCUCGCCACGUGGCGGCCUGCGAUUCGUCAGGCGGCAGCGAGCGGACGUGUUCGGCUCGAUGCGGACGUGUCCGGCGGCGGGAGGAGGAAGAGGCUAGGGUUAGGGAUCCGGAUUUUUCGGGGAGAUGCACAUAUUUAUAGGUAGAGGGAGCUAGGAGGCUCCAAAUUGAGCAUGGUUUUUGGCCACGCGAUCGUGAUCGAACGCUCUAGAUGAUGGAGAGGGUUUAGGUGGGUUUUGGGCCAAAAUGGAAGGGUGUUGGGCUGCAACACUCACAAGGCCUCUUCGGUCCCUCGGUUAACCGUUGGAGUAUCAAACGAAGUCCAAAUGACACGAAACUUGACAGGCGGUCUACCGGUAGUAAACCAAGGCCGCAUGGCAAGUCUCGGUCCAAUCCAGAAAUGUUUAACCCCCACACACGAAAAGAGGUAGAAAGGACCACCGGGGGAGAUAGGAGCGCCGGAAUGCAAAACGGACGAUGGGGAAAAUGCUCGGAUGCAUGAGAUGAACACGUAUGCAAAUGCAAUGCACAUGAUGACAUGAUAUGAGAUGCAUGACAAAGGCAACAACACAUGGAGACAAAAACCUGAACCCAAGGAAAAUAAAAUAACUUAGUGCCGGAAAUGGCAAGAGUUGGGAUACAUAUAAGGUAAAUUACAUCCAGGGUGUUACACUGACUUAAGUCGAAUACAAGUGCCCAAAAAUUGUGUGCAUGUCAUAAUAAGGAUUCACUUAAAAUAAUACGUGAGCGAACAGAGGGAUCAAUUGGACAGUGUUCCCAAGCAGUAGCGAGAUGUGUGAGGUAAGAUACACCGCUGGCGCUUUUAAAUAUUUCUUAUUAAUUUGUUUGUUUCACCCUCUGACUGGUGGGACCCAAUGUACUACAUGGAGAGAGGUAAGGUGACUAAGGCUGCAUUAUUUCUGCACCAUUGUGGAUAGUCUUACCACCAAAGCCACAUGACACGAUUAUGAUUGAAAUCCCAAUGACUCCCACACACACAAAAAAACACGGCAUGCUUGUCACAUGAAUGCAGGAAUGUAUAAAAGGUUAUUUCCCUCUCGUUGAACAUAACAGGAGGGUUGUGUAGCUGGUUAGCC
RNAcentral lists this long non-coding RNA (46760 nucleotides) under Triticum aestivum (bread wheat). RNAcentral's name for it is "long non-coding RNA (TAES_LNC001760)". The record is from RNAcentral. Lineage: Eukaryota; Viridiplantae; Streptophyta; Magnoliopsida; Poales; Poaceae.